CAGGUCAAGAGGGAAUUGAGAUAAGGGAGAAAAGGGACUGGGGGGAAUUGAGGGAAAUAAGAGAGAGAUAGAGGUGUAGAGGUAGAGAUAGAGAUAGAGAUAGAGAUAGAGGAGAAUUGGGAAGAGAAAUAGUAGAGAAGAAGAAGGGUUUGGAGAAGAACUUUUGGGGAAGAAAAUAGACUAAUUCAUUUCAUUCAUACCUUGCAAUUACAUCCUGCUAACUAUAUAUACCCCAUACAACUUGUACUGAAUUGAAAUUAAACUAUCCUAUGAGGGCUUAACAGCAAUUUGACACAAAAUGGGAAAUGUAGCCUGAUGGGUUGAAUCCGGUUGCUUGUGGGCCUCGGGUGGGCUUGUUUGGUCCGAAACUGCAUGAUAAACGGGUAAGCAGUUUGCGGGUCCGCCUACUCCGCACUAUCCACAACCGGGCGGGGCUUGGGUCUGCGUUUUACGCCCGAUCCAGUAAUCCGACCGCCCGCCACCCGCUAUCGAGUUACCUCUUCCUCCGCUCUCUUCCUCCGCCCUCCAGAUCCUGCAGAAGCCUCCGCCUAUCUACCUCGAUCCUCCCUCUUCUCCUUCGGAGCACCCAGGAUGCCCUAGUCCUCGACGGAGUUCCACCCGAGCACCUUCCCGCCGUCCCACUUGGCGCGCUUCCUCCUCUCCGACCGGCUGCCGCCCUUAUUCUCCAUCUUAACUAGUAAAACUGCUCCUUUUACUACUCUCCCAUGCUAACUCCUACUAUUACUACUAUUUCUACCAUUUAUUCUUCAGGGUUGUUAUACAGUGCUGAUGAGUAGUCGAACAAACUCGUGGAUAUGAACUUUAUUAAAUGGUUAGAAUGCAUUUUGCUGCUGAUGAAUGAAUAAAGAAGUUACCCAUCAGUAGAAUUGUUCACUCAUCUGUCGGGCUAUCAUGCCCGUUAAAAUGUGCAAUGCUUGGUAAAUUGGAACGUUGGUUAUAUCUGUGUUAUAAACUAAUCUGAUAUAAUUAUUUUAUUUUCUAUUUCACUUAAAAAAGUGGAUUAGUUUUGAUUAUUCGCGUCUUAUGCUUCAUCUUAUCAUUUAAAGACCUGUGCUCGUCAAAUCUGUUUCUAUAAUACACGAAUGUGACAACCGCACGUGUUUAUUUGGGAUCUAAUCUCCUAAUCUAAAUAUUAAUAAAGGUUUAGUUCGAGUUCUAAGCUAAAUCUUUAUUAUUGUCCCCCACUUGUGCUCUUAUAUAGCUGCACCAAUGAAAAACAUGUUAUUCCAUUUUAGACAUUUAAUUACAAUCUUCAUCUCCCAAACAUUAUUAACUUUUUUGAGUAUACCGAUAGCAUACUUUACCUAGAAUAAAAUACCCCCACCUAAAUAUAUUUUAACUAAUUUAUUAUAAUAUGCACAAUAUAUAACAUUAUUUAUGGGAACAAGGCAAUCCAUCUACAAUAUCAAAUGGAGACUAAUACUUCCGAUUUUUUUUAAAGAAAAGCAUUGUAAUAUUCUAACUCGAACCAUGAUUUGGUUCCACUUUUGUAUUUAUUAUUAUCUUUUGGUCUCAUUUUCAUGGACUUUUUUUUUUAUUUAUUUUUCGUUUUGGUCCGUCUCUCGUCGAGGCCUUGUUGCCUCACCCAUAUAACUUAAUUCACUUACUUUCUGAAUGAAGCGGGUAGCGUGUUAUUUUUCUCUCAAAAAAACAAAAAACACGUCAACUCGUGAAAGAAAUACUAACAUCGUGAUGCAGCAAUCCAUUUUCAAUCGUAAAAAACGUGGCUUGGUGGGUCUAUUCACGAGAUCUGUCGAUGAGCUUAAACAUGAUCUUGAUUCCUCCGCUGCAUGUUUAUCUUAAAUAAAAUGAUAUUGACAACAUCUUGUGUGUUAUUAAGGGUUAUCAAAUGUAGAACGAAUAUGUAAAACUAAAAAUUAUAUUUUAACUGAAUCUGUACAAUUUAUUUGGGCAACGAAGAUAAAGAUUGAAAACUCAAAAAAUAAAUUCACGAUGGUCAGAUAUAUUUUAAGAUUGGUUGUGGUAUAUAUAUAUAUAUAUAUAUAUAUAUAUAUAUAUAUAUAUAUAGGUAGCAAUUUUUUCGUUUCGUUUAUUUUAUUUAGAAAUAAGCUUAGCUAGAAAUGUGAAUCAUUUAUCAUUCGAAUUUGGGUCUCGAAUACCAACCACCAAAUCUUUUUUCACUUACUCUAGAAACGGUCGGUCUUUUUGUGAUAUGAAUUGUGGAUAAGGAUUAUAGNAAACUCAAUAGUACCAAGGGCUUGGUACUAUUGAUAGUAUAGUAGCAUAAUUCUAUAUAUAUAUAUAUAUAUAAAACUUGGAAUAGAUUAAGAGGGGUUAAGUAUGGAUUAUAGCCUGUUCUCAAAACUUGUGGUUUUUGAAAAUAAAGUUUCUAACAUGAUGUUUUAAAAAAUAAUUUUAGUUUCCUCAUAAACGAAAUGCUGAGAAUAGAUUUUCUGUAGUUUUUCAAAAGUCAAAACUUGUUUUCAGAAAGUAAAAUUUUAUAGUGUCAAAAGACUUGAUAGUUUUUUUAAGAAAAGAUAGCACGCUAUCUGCUUCAUUCAUUGAAUGUAUGAACUAGGCUACAGGAGUGAGGCAACCAGUGCCUCAAGAAAAGAAACAACAAUUAAAAAAAAAAAAAGAACAAAAAGGCUUGAUAGUUAAUACUCAUGUUCGAGUUUGAAGUUUAAUUACCUCACAUCUCCAGCUACAUUUAUUUCUAAAAUAAAAGAUAAAUGAAACACGCGACUGGUGCCAUACUAUUUUUCUCUCUCUCUUAAAAAAAAAAAACUCAUUUUGUGUCAUUUGCCAAAAACUCAAUUCAUUUUCAAAAAUCAAGAGAAUGUUUUUUAGUUUUCUAUAUUCGAAUUAUUAUUCACAUGUUCCGAAAAUCAAACAUGUUUUGAUCAUUUUUUUUUUUAAGCAUAGAUCAUAUAUGUUCCUCGCAAUCUCAAAAAGAGCUUUAUAAACACAACUUAGGCCUUCAUCCGGAAAUCCAAAGGGAUCAUUAGAUUUAGGGGCUUGUUUGAUUCACCUGAGACUGUAGAAUCGAAAUAAAAUUUAUUAAUUUUGAUAGUUGUUGUUGUUGUUGUUUUUUUUUUCUUUUUUCUUUUUUGAAAAGAACACCAUAAGGCAUUUAUUUUAUAGAAUAACUGGUCGGAAACUCCUCAAACUCUGCGAAAUAAGGCCAACUAAAAGCUACCUGGAAAACAAAACCCUAUUUGGCUAGUUGGUCAACACAUUAUGAAAAUAAACUAUAUCUAAAAGACCACCCUGUAAGAAUAUUAUUAUUAGAUUCCAAAAGGCGUCGAAGCAAAGCAAUUCGCUCUGCUACUUGCAGUGAAAUUGGGAUAUGCCGGUCCUCCUAAUACAAGCAGGAACGAAUGAUAGUUGUCGAAUCUAUGUAAAUUUGAGCACUUGAUAUUAGACCAAUUAUUUAGAAGCCACUUGACUGCCUUAGUACAUGCUUGUAUCUCAACAGCAAGAGCACUUUCUGAUUCGAUGGAAGGUGCUGCGUAAUAAUAAACGACCACAUCCCCUUGGCUUCAACGACUAACUUAUUGUUUAUUUUACAUAAAUUUAAUUCUGAUUUUCAUUAUAGCCCAAUCCGAUUUUGCAUUCUGGAGUAGCCACCCAUUCUAGAAUAAACCAUUCAAAACUUUGUUUCACGAACAACUCCCCUUCUUCUCCCUUCACCACUCUCCUUUUUCUUAACCAAAACUUUCUCAAAAUCUCAAAAUUUAGAUAUUUAUUUUGAUUUUUAUCAUAAUAAUCAAUCAAGUAAAAAAUUUUUUAAGUAAUUCAUCAUUUUACUUUUUAUUUCAGUACAAUCUAACUCUUUUUUUUUUUUUUUUUUUCAAUCAUGAACCAAAAACCGCGUAAACUUUUUCAUUAACAAUAAAUUUUUGCACUAUCUAUGGAAUUGGGUGGGUGGAGCUAGUUAAACAACGUUGUCACCAGGUUGUUGUCUUAAAGAAACUUGGGUCAACAUUCCACGAACAGGACGCAACUAAAAGUACGCAGUUUUUCCAACACGUUAUUAAUUGAUUUGAUUUGAUUUGAGUUGAAUUGAAUAUUCUCUCUCUCUCUCUUUCCUUAAAAAAAACGAAUUAUUAAUUGCGGCAUCAAUAAAUCGCACGGACCCACAUGUAAUUCCCUCUCUUUUGCAUCAAAUUGAAUCCUACAUUUUGCCACUGUUUCAAAUAGGAUACAAUAUUAGGAUGAAAAACUCCAACAAAAUGUUUAUAAAAGUUACAUCUUUAUAUAUAUAAGAUAUUUAAACUUAUGUAAACUUAUGAAACUUGGUUGUUUACAGAAAAACUUUAUUUAACUUAUAUGAUCAUAGUUUAUUGAAUAACGUAACCAUUGUUAUGGGCCAACUCAUUUCAUGAAAUUUUACAGAGUAGAGUAGUUAAACGUAGGAUCCAAAUUAAAGCAAAUAUUUGUAUAAGUGAUAAUUAAUUGAAACAAGAAGCAAAGCGCAAACCGGAGAUUUUACUAUUUAGCUCUAAUUUUCUUUUGAUAAAAAAGUACAAAACUCUCCUAUGGAGCAUUUUGAAUUCGUUAUCUAAUCUAUCGGAAUUUUGAUUUUACUGUCGAUUCUUUUAAUUUGUUUAAUUUGAGUCGGCCAACGUUAUUUUGACUUUAAAUUUUGAGUGCGACAUUUAUUUUUAUAAAUUUAGAUGGCAUACUUAAUAUAAUUCUCAUAACUAUAAAUUUAUUAAAAUAAAUAAUUAGCUUAAAUUUUAAUAUCGUUUACUAAAUGAAAUCAAACAAAUUAAAAAAUUGAAUAGCUAAAUUAAAUUUUUGAUAAUUUAUGUACUUUUUUUUUUUUCGGUCUUUCCUAAAACACCGUAGACUGCACGAUCUCCCAACCGUCAGAUCACCAUCCAACGGUCACCCGCAAGGUCAGUGCCCUGUUGCUUUCGCCCUGGAUUAUCCCCGCUUUUCUUUUCCUGAUAAAGACGCGUAAAACCCCCGCGUAGAUCCUAUGCCGCGCCAGUCGAAGGAAAAUUUGUACUUCAACCAAUAGAUGUUCGCCACGUGUCCGCCUUCGCAGGCUUCUCGUGGGCGACGCGCUUGGUUUGGACCGUGGAAAAAUUACGCUAAAAAAGUAUUCUGUAUGUUCUCAUACGUAAUAGAUUUUUUUUUUUUUUUUUUUUACAUUUGGCCCUUUCAAUAAAUUUAUUUUUAUAAAUAAAUUUAUCAAAUUUAUAAUUAUAAUUUUGGUCUUAUUUUUGCAACACAGGUGUCACGUAGGGGUGGUAAUCCAGCUCGCUGUUCGCUAGCCAGUUCGUGUUCGGAUCGAAAUGAGCUCGAGAUCGAAUCGCUCGUUUAGUAAAUAAGUCGAACAUGAGCUGAAUUUUUCAACUCGUUUAAUAAAUGAGCCGAACACGAGCUGGGGUCAGCUCAUUCGUGUUCGGCUCGAUAACAGCUCAAAUACAUAUAUUUAAUUUAAUAUAAUUUAUUUAUUUAUAAUUUUUAAUAUAAAUAAAUAAUAUAUAUAUAUAUAAUAUUAUUAUUAUUUAAUUUUUAGCAAAAUAAAAUAUAUAAAUGCAAGCUUAAUUAUAAAAAGACUCGUUUAUAUGUAAAGUUCAACUAUUAGAUUAAAAUCUAAUGAAUAAGAUUUUAUAAAUUUUUAUUAUAUAUAUAUAUAUAUAUAUAUAUAUAUAUAUAUAUAUAAUAUAUAUAUAUAUAUAUAUAUAUAUAUAUAUAUUUAAUUUUUUUAAUUUAUUGUUUGUUGGCCGCUCGUGAGCCAGCUCGUGUUCGGCUCGUUAAUAACGAGCCGAACAUGAGCCGAAUUUUUCGGUCCGAUACUUAACGAGCCAGCUCGUGUUCGGCUCGUUUAUUCCCAGUUCGCCUGUGUUCGGCUUGUUUCACCCUUAGUGCCACGUAGACGCCACACGAGCAUGAGUGAAGGGGUGGAAUAAGUUGAAUAUGGUAUUUCAUUCACCGUGUCUAAACACGAAAAAAAUAUAAGAAUAAAAAAGAUGGAAUAUAAGUAUGAAUACGGUGAAUCAUUCACCGUUUUUUAACACGGUGAAUGAUUCACCAUGUUCAACUUAAUGUCUCUCCUUCGUCGGCUUAUGUGACGCUAAUGUGACACCUACGUGACGGGGAUAGGAUCAAAAUUAUAAUUAUAAAUUUUAUAAAUUAUUUAUGAAAAAAAAAAUUAACAGGCCAAAUACAAAAAAAACUCUACGUAAUAUCGCGUUUCGCAUAUCUUGAUGGGCCGAUUAGAAUAUAUUUUUUUUAUGACCCCAUCAAAAAAUACAAAAUAUAUCUCCACAUUUUUUUAUUCUGAUUUUAUUUUAUUUUAUUUAAUAGCGGUAGAGGAAUCUCGAUACAACCAAAAUAAGUCAAGCCGAAGAUGACGACUCCUCUCAAUUGCGUUUAGAAACCGAGAAAGCGAGCGCAAGACAUGUAAUAAAAAAAAAAAAAGGGAAAAAGGAAAAAAAAAAGAAAAAGAAAAAAGGAGUCCAAUUUCUCCGCCACCCGCUUUGACAACCAUGCAGCGUUUCGAAUCUCUCCCUCUCAGAGGCGAAAAACGCACCGAGCCCCCUCAACUAUAGAACACGGUAAAACAGCCACCACUCAUUUGUUUUCAUUCUUUUUUUUUUUUAAGAGAUAGGUAGCACGCUACCGCUUCGUUUAUUUCAUUUAGAAAUAAACUUAGCUGAAAAUAUGAAUCAACUAGUAUUCGAACUUGGGACCUCAGAUACCAACCACCAAACCCUUUGCCACUUGCUCUAGGGCCGGUCAGUCUCAUUUGUUUUCAUUCUUAGUAAUAAUUGUUUUUUUUUUAUUUUUUUUUGAGAGAUAGGUAGCACGCUACCCGCUUCGUUUAUUUCAUUUAGAAAUAAACUUAGCUGAAAAUGUGAAUCAACUAGGAUUCGAACUCGGGUCUCGAAUAUCAACCACCAAAUUCUUUGCCAUUUACUCUAGGGACGGUUGGUUCUCAGUAAUAAUUGUUGCCUGUAAAAUCUCCCGAACUCGGUGAUAUUGCAUAGGUACUCGUAUAAAUUUUAAAACAUCUUAUAUAUUUCUGCAAAGUUUGUUAGAACGUUUUAAAAAUACCUGUGCACUAGUCAAAAUUUAUGGUUUUCAAGUACAAAGACUAUUUGGUGCCCAUCGUAAUCAGCAAUGACCAUCAAUUGAUAUUUAAUAUAAAAAUAUUUAAAUGAUCAUUUUUUACUGGUUUAAAUUUUUAGAGUACAACGAUUGUUUCGUAUUGUUUAAUAUAGUAUAGCGAUAAAAAAUAUUAAAUAUAAAAAUAUUUAAAUAUAUCAUUUCUUAUUAGCUUAACUUUUAGAGUGGAGCGGUCGUAUUAUUUAAUAUAGUAUCAAAGCAGAAGAUUCUGAAUUCGAUUCACGUCAUGUUCCUAACAUUAUUGAUUUUUUUCUAUUUAAUUCAAGUCCAUAUUAUGGACCUAUAAAAAGCCUCGAGUACAAACUCUCGAGAGAGUGUUAAUAUAAAAAUAUUUAAACAUCGUUCUCUAAUAGCUUAAACGAAAAUAUAGCAUAGAUACUUAUAUAAAUUUUAAAAUAUUAUAUAUAUAUUUCUGUAGAGCUUAUUAGAAUGUUAUAAAGAUACCUAUAGAUUAGUCAAAAUUUAUCGUUUUCCAGUAUAAGGACUAUUUUGUCCCCAGCAUAAUCUGCAGUGACCAUAAAUUGGUAUUAAAUAUAAAUAUAUUUAAACACACCGUUCUCUACCAGGUUAAAUUUUUCGAGUAUAGCGGUUGUUUCGUAUUAUUAAACGUGAUAUAAAUAUGAGAGAGUAUUAAAUAUAAAUAUAUUUAAACACAUCAUUCUCUACUAGCUUAAGAUUUUAGAGUGCAAUGGUUGUUUCGUAUUAUUUAACAUGGUAUUAGAGUUAUUUAAUAUGGUAUUAGAGUAGAAGAUUCUAAGUUUAAGUCACGCCAGAUUUCCAGCAUCAUUAAUUUCCUACUAUUUUUCAAAUCUACGUCAUUGACCUAUAAAAAAUCUCGAGCACAGACUUAAGGGAGAAUGUUAAAUAUAAAAAUAUUUAAACACCGUAUUCUAAUAUAUAGCUUACGCUUUUAGAGUAGAACGGUUGUUUAACAAUUGAUGUAAUGAAAUCAAACUUUAUUAUUUUUUAUUUGUAAAUUAAGACUAUUUGAUCUUAAAAAAUAUUUUUUAUAUAAUAUUUUAAAUUUUAGAGAGAUAAAUAUAUAAUAUUCUAUCUGUACACUGAUACUAGUAGAAGUGUGCAUGCAAUGAACGCUUUUAUAUAAAAAACUGUUGAAUUGAGACCUCUUGUCUACUAAUAAAAAUUUGUUGAAUUGAGAUCUCGUCUACUAAUAAAAAUUUGUCAAUUUUAGUAGUUUGAUUAGUUAUUAAUGAUUAAUUAAUCUAAUUUUAUUUACUAAAAUAUAAUUAAAAUUAUCCAAUUUGAUAAAAGAAGUUGAUGGGUCUCAACCAAAGAGCCAAAAAGUUAGGAAUAUUUUUAUUAAUAAAAUUAAAAAAAUUAUAAUUGUAAAUAUAGUUUUUUUAAAAAAUUAUUUACAAAACCUAGUCUUAUGCGUUUUAAAUGCACUAUACCGUUUACUGUUUAAUAUUAUAUAGUUUUUGAAGUUCAAAUAUAAAAAAUAUAUAAAUAUAAAUUAGUAAAAGCAGUAAAUUAUUCACCAUAUAUUUUAAAGCUAAUUUUAGAAGUAAAAAUCUAGAACGUCUAUUUUGUAAUUAAAAAACUUUGGAGGAUUACUCUGCCAAAAACACCGAGGAGCCGAUUUCAGAAUGUGCUAUAGUUGAGGGAUCGUCAUGCAUUUUUUUCAACCUUUCCUCAUCUCCACACACACGCCACCGUGCGAUAUGCUUCUCCCUCUGCUUUAUAUUUCGUUCCCAUCUUAAACGUAUAUAUAAAAUAAUAAUAAUACAGUAGCGAUCGAGAGAGCGAGGGUUAUAUAUAUUUACAUUAUUAUUAUAAUAUAAUAAUAAUAAGAGCGUAGUAGAGUAGUGGGAGGAGGAGGAGGAGGAGGAGGAGGAAGAAGCGGCGGAGGAGAUGAAGUACUUGGUGGAGGUGGAGAAGGGGAGGGAGGGGGUCGAUGGUGGGCCCUCGGUGGGGCCCGUUUACCGGAGCGUCUUCGCUGAGGACGGUUUCCCGCCGCCGAUCCCCGGCCUCGAUAGUUGCUGGGAUGUUUUCCGGUAAUUUUACGCCAUUGAUCGUUUAAUCUACUGGAGUUUGUGGCAAUCUCUUACUUUUCGAGUUACUUUUUUGGCGAUCUAUUCGCGUUGGAUCAUUAGUCAUUGUGUUUAAGUUGAUUUGAGGUGAUUUGUGGCGAUUUUUGUUUGAUUUUGGCUUGUUUUAUUUUUUUAGAUCAAUUGUUGAAGUUGCCAUCUUUUUAGUUUGAAUCAAAUUAAAUUAGUUUUUUUUUCGAUUUUUUUUUUCAACAUCUGUGAUCUAGUAUGGCGGUGGAGAAGUAUCCGAAUAAUAGGAUGCUCGGUCAGCGUGAGAUUGUUGAUGGAAAGGUAUGAACUUUAUGAUCCGUGGUUAAUUACAUUUUCUAUAAGUUUAUAUUUUGUUUACACUGCUUAUUUAUUUUUAUUUAUUUUUGUUUUUUGUUUUUGAGUUCAAAUUUGUGUUGUUUUGAUGUGUACUUAAUCAGGCUGGUAAAUAUGUUUGGAAGAGUUACAAAGAAGUGCAUGAAAUUGUUAUGAAAGUUGGGGCUUCGAUUCGGAGCUGCGGAGUUGAGCAGGUAAUUAACUAAUUAGCAUGUGAGAUUAUACUGGAAAAUGUGGAGCUGUGGAUAUUUAUAUUGUUUGUGAUUUUCUGUACUAUCCACUUAAGUCGUUAUGUGCUCUUUAUUGAAUAGGUUAUGGGUUUUGAGGGGGUAUUGUGUACUUGUUUUUGCAAAGCUAGUUCAUUUAUCCUGUAUAAAUUUUAGUGUCCAUGAAUGUUGUACCAAUCACAAAUUUAUUUUGUCCAACCGACUUAGUUUGGAGAUCGUUGAACGACUAAAUCCGAUGUUUCUUUAAUAGGAAAUGCAAUUUUUGUUGAACGACUAAAAUUGUAGUCAACAAGUUACCAGUUCUACCAAAGCAGCAUACCUCACCUGCGUAUAAAUGACGAAAUCGGCCUCGCAUAUCCUCUUUUAUUUGUUCGUUUACUCGUAGAAAUAGUGGCUAAAUAGUUUAGAAAAGAAGAACACAAGUUUUAUGCAUGGUAGCUGGUUAAUAGUGGUUCAUGCUGGCUAAGUUUUGCAAAUCAAAGGGAUUGUCAUUGAAUCCUUUUUUCUUUUGGCAACUAUGCUUACUCUGUACUCAAGAUUGAGCUUCGUUUGUUCCAAUAAACACUGCAGUUAUUAGAAUCAAAAGCUCCCACUUUUGGACAAUUGGCUGUAAUUUUAAGUCUAGUCGCUUGCAUUUUCUUCACUUGUGUGGAUACUUUAUCUUUCCUGCUCCCUAUUGUUUGCUAAAAUCAUGAUUGUUCCACUGCUGAGCUUUCAUUAGUUUGUAGGCAUAGUUGGGCUCUUAAAUAGCAAAUUAGAUAAACUUUUUUGGCACUCAUUGUUGAGCUUCUGAUUGGUCCUUGGCAGGGUCGUCGUUGUGGUAUCUAUGGUGCCAAUUGUCCUGAGUGGAUGAUCAGUAUGCAGGUAUAAUCCAUUCAAAUAUCUCUUUUUUUUUUUUUUUUUUGGAACUACUUUUAUUCACAAUGCUCUUUUCGGUCAUUUUCUUCUUUUAGCAAAGUCAACUUGUGACAAGUCUUGUUAUUUCUCAUUCUUUAUCCAUAUAUUCUGCAGGCCUGUAAUGCUCAUGGGAUUUAUUGCGUUCCCUUAUAUGAUACUCUUGGUAGGUGUCUUGCUUUUAAUUGUGUGAAAUCAUUUUGGUUUAUUAUGGCUCUUUUGACAGUUUUCUCUUAUGUGCACAACAAGAUUGCUUAACUAGCACUAAUCAUAAUAUUCUUAGAACGUAACUCAAUUUUCUUCUGAAUUGAGACUACGAACUGUAACAAUUUUGUCUUGGUUCUAGGUGCUGGUGCAGUAGAAUUCAUUUUAUGUCAUGCAGAAAUUCAGAUUGCUUUCGUGGAGGAAAAAAAGAUUGGAGAGGUACAUAUCCUUGAGUUGUUUUAAAGAUGUUGAGUGGAGGGUUAUGACGGUGGUGUUGUUGUUCUCUUAUUUUUAAGAUGAUGUUGUGUACUGUUAUGGUAAAGGCUUGACAAGUGUGCCUAGUGGCUAAGGCAGCAGCCUAUGCAAUAUUUUGCAUUUUUUUCUUUUGGUUAUAGAAGGGUGAUAAAGUUGUCGUAUAUCUUGUCCCAUCCUGGCCCUACAUUACUAAGAGCCUGUUUGUCAGAAGCUGUUGUUAUAUAUUUGUGUUGGCAUUUUCUUUUUCUAGAUGAAGCAAGUAAUACCAGAUCCUUCUAUUUUACAGAUGCUGAAGACCUUCCCCAAUUCAACCAAAUUCUUGAAAAGUAAGUUGCCUGUGGCUCAUCUAGAUCCACCAUUUAAUGUAAUAUGUUCCUCAAUGUGAUCAAUAUCAUUGUUUUUUGUGCAGCAAUUGUGAGCUUUGGCAAGGUAAACACGGAACAAAGAGAAGUGGCGGAGAAACACGGUUUGGCAUUCUAUUCUUGGGAUGAUUUUUUGCAGCUGGUAAGACUUAAAUUUGAGGUCUCGUCAAUGUGAAAUGAUUUUUCAUGUCUCAAGUAUACCUUCUUGUGGUGUCGGUAGAUUAAAAAGGCAAAUAAGUAUUUGCAUUGUCCUGUGUAAGAAAUCUGCCAAUUUUCAUUUAACAGAUACCAUUUACUUGCAUCAAAAUUAUUUGACAUAAGGAAAUAACCUGCUUAUAAGACGAUACUUCUGCUCUUUGUACAGUUUGCUAUGCUAUCCAAAAUUUUAGUCCAUGUUUAAUCCUUUACUGGAAUUCUUCUAUUUUGCUGGUAAUGACAUGUAUUGUAAUCUUAAGAAGUUUGAUGGUUUCGUACUUGUAGGGAGGUAGUCAACAGUUUGAUCUUCCAGUGAAGGAAAAGGCAGAUAUAUGUACUAUAAUGUAUACUAGUGGAACAACUGGUGAUCCCAAGGGGGUAAUGAUCUCCAAUAGAAGCAUUCUCUCUCUUAUUGCUGGUGUGAAUCGACUGCUUCAUUGUGUGAAUGAACAGGUGAGUUAUGUUUAUACCUUGUCCUUUUACAGAUGUUAAUCCUAAUUGUUGUCUAACUUGCUUUUGUCCUUUUUGAUUUUUGUGCAGUUGCAUGAAUAUGAUGUUUAUAUGUCUUAUCUUCCCCUUGCGCAUAUCUUUGACCGGGUGAUUGAAGAGUUGUUCAUUUUUAAUGGUGCCUCGAUUGGAUUUUGGCGUGGGGUAAGCUUCAACCCAAAUGUACUGUUUUCUUGCUGUAUAGACAUAGGACCCUUGAUUAGUUAAAAAUUUUGUCUUCAGGAUGUUAAAUUGUUAGUUGAGGACAUUGGGGAGCUGAAACCAACGAUAUUCUGUGCUGUUCCACGUGUGCUGGAACGGAUUUAUACAGGUAUAAAGUAUGAAUUUAAUUAUACCAAACCAUCAUAAAGCGAGAUAAAUAAGUUUUGACGCAUACUAUUCCUAAAUGUGCAAACUUGCAUUAUGUGGAUAUUUUUGCCUUUAUCAUGCAUCUUCAUGGUAUUCCUCUUGAUCUCCCAACUCCGUUUCCUUUUCUUUGUUUGUCUAAAUUUCAUUCACUUACACAGUUUACAAGUCUCAUGAGGCCGUUUCCUAGUAUAAUAUAAGGCAGAGCUUUAUAGGGCAGAUUUCGGAUGCCUUGACUGAUAUAUAUGUUGGCAUUUUUGGGGGUGAUUAGUGAGGUGCUAGAGAUACCUGUUAUGACUACCAUACUUAGUCUGUCCAUUCUAGUUACUUAAUUCUUCUAGUCUGGUUGAUAAGCUAUAUGUGAUGUAUAUACAUAGACAUCUUGAUAUGUCUGCUCUGUCUACUGAGUGUAAAAUUGGUUUUUAUUUCUAUGCCCAUUCUCUGGCACCAAAUAACAUUUUAACUCAAGAACUACUAGCACUUGACAUCUUUUGGUUGGCUGCUACUUUUCAGGAUUGCAAGAUAAGAUAUCUUCUGGGGGCUUACUGAAGCAUACAUUGUUUAAUGUUGCUUACAAAUAGUAAGUUUUGUACAUACUUUAGUCUACCAUUGCGAAUUUCCGUUUUGGCAGACGCAUAUAUCUUUUGUAUCCUUGUUAUUUUAUUUCUUCCUUCCCUCGUUACAUAGUGCUGUGAAGUUAUGCAGAUGUGUAUAAGUUGUGAAGGGGGAUUCCAUGUUUUUCAGAAUUACAACUUAUUAUUCUGGAUAAUUUGUUUCCUUCUGGAAAGUUAAGCUAUUUUCAGUGAUGGCUUAUUGAUGAUCAAUAUUCUUUGCGAUUCUACAGCAAGCAAUUUAACAUGUUGAGAGGGAGUAAGCACGAGGAUGCUGGUUUUAUUGUUGAUAAAGUAGUUUUUAAUAAGGUAAUUGUAAAGUGCAGCUGUUCUUUGUCCAGAUAUUUUAUCUUCUUAUUGGUUGUCCUCCUAGUAUUUUUUUUUUUUUACUUUCUCACAUGUUUUAUUUCCACAUAAAGGUAAAAGAAGGACUAGGUGGGAAUGUUCGUCUAAUCUUAUCUGGAGCUGCCCCUCUAGCUACACAUGUUGAAGAAUUUCUACGUGUGGUGUCAUGUGCCCAUGUUCUACAAGGCUACGGUAUGCAUUGCUGCAUAGCUGCGUCGUUUGCUUUAUACUGAAUAAACUGAAAAGUUCUGUUUGAGUGCACCGUAUGUAUUGGAUUUUACUCCGUGUUUGCUCUCGUCUUGUAAAUAUUGAUUUGACUUUCUUGAUUCAUAUAAAAAAUUGAUUAAUUGAUUCCAAUCUCUUUUUAUCUUUUUAGGUCUUACGGAGACCUGUGCUGGGACCUUUGUGUCAUUGCCAAAUGAAAUGUCCAUGUUAGGAACUGUGGGCCCACCAGUACCAAAUGUUGAUGUACGCCUGGAGUCUGUUCCUGAAAUGGGGUAUGAUGCUCUUUCAGAAUCAUUCCCUCGUGGUGAAAUCUGCAUCAGAGGGGAUACCUUGUUCUCGGGAUACUAUAAGCGUGAAGAUCUCACAAAGGAGGUUCUGACUGGGGGGUGGUUCCACACUGGUAUGCCUAUUUCACUAUACAACCUUUUAUAUGAUAUUCUGUGGUAGAAAAGGGUGAAGAAAUUCAUUGAAGCCAACAACCUUUUAUUGUUGUAACUCUGUACCUAGGUUGCAUCUCUUGUUUUUCAUGAAUGUUGCUGCUUCUCAGAUCGAGUAUCUAAUGCGUCUCUGUUGAUCUUUGUUGCUAGGUGACGUUGGAGAGUGGCAGCCAGAUGGAAGUAUGAAAAUCAUUGACCGGAAGAAAAACAUUUUUAAACUUUCACAAGGAGAAUAUGUUGCAGUUGAAAAUUUGGAGAACAUUUAUGGUCUAGUACCUGCUAUAGACUCGGUAUAUCUUGUGAACCAAGAAAUUCUUUUAUAUUGUCAUUCAAAAGUCAUCUUCCAUUCUGGUUACUCUAAUGUCAUCCAUGAGUUUCUUUUCCCAUUGGUUUGAUUGCCUGACAUUAUUGUUUUCUGAACAUCUUUCACUUAGAAGAUGAUACAUAGUUUACCUACUGCUGCCGUAAUUUACAACAGACCCUACAAUGUGACCUUUUUGGUGUCCUAUCUUUGCUGUGUUGAACAGUAUGUGCUUCUGUACAUAUUGCUUGUCGGUGAUUAGAGAGGCAUUUGUUAAAUUUAAUAUGAAAAGUAUUUAAGCUUGCACGAAGAAUCUUUGAUGAAAGAAAAAUAAAAUUGUGAGACCUUAGAUAAUCCUAUAUAUAAAAUAUGAUAGGGCUAAAACUCUUAACCCAGCUAUAGCAUUUUGAGUGGUGGCUAGGUCCAAGAAGUUAAAAGAGUUAAGCGUGUCAAGUCUAGAAUAGUCCUAGGAUGGGUGACCCUCUGGGAAGCGGGGCGUCACAGAAAUCAUACUAGUAAAUAUAUAACAGUGCGUGAUAAGCACGAGAGGACAUGUAAGCUGAGCUACUGUAAGGUGAACUUGAUAUUAACUAGUACAGAAUGGGUAUUAUAGAGAUUUAAAGUUAUGGAACUCACAGAUUUUAAGUUGAAUAUUAGUUUGGUAUGGUUAGUUGUUUGGCUCAACCAUAAUAUCUGCCGGCCAAGCCGAAUGUUCUCGCAUAUUUUUGAGGUACUUGGAUGUGAAUUUAUGACUAUAAUGUUCACCUCAUACUUAAAAUCUUGUGCACGAGUUGUCUGUUAGCUCUUUUGUAAUUUCUACUGAGUUAUCAUAUCCUGCAAGAAUUACCAGCUUCCUUUAUCCUUAAUUAACAUCGUAAAGUUUGUUUGACCAAAUUUUUUCCUCAUAUUGCCUCAGAUUUGGAUCUAUGGAAAUAGUUUUGAGUCCUUCCUUGUUGCUGUAAUUAAUCCCAAUAAGCAAGCUCUCGAGUGCUGGGCUGAAGCAAAUGGAGUAAGUGGGGACUUUGCCGCACUAUGUGAGAAUCCUAAAGCAAAAGAAUUCAUUUUGGGAGAACUUUCGAAGAUCGGUAAAGAAAAGAAGGUAGGUUUUGACAAUUCCCAGUUCACUCUUUCUAUCAUUAUCGUUAAUUUUUAACCCUUCAGCAGAACUUCAUAUUAAAAUUCUUAGAUAUGUUUAUGUCACUUUUCAUGCUUUUGACAGCUUAAAGGAUUUGAGUUCAUAAAAGCUAUUCACCUUGAACCUGUACCAUUUGACAUGGAUCGCGACCUGCUUACUCCAACAUACAAAAAGAAGCGUCCGCAGCUGCUCAAGUAUUACCAGGUACCACCGCAUCACGGAUAUCCAGCGAACUUGGAAAAACAUAUUUUGCACAUCAUAUGAAAAGUUCGAUCUGAUAUUCUGCAAAACGUAUUCCCUUUUUCAAGUUCUCCGAUUACACCCAUUUGAUCCUCGACUAACUAUAUACUGUUUAAUUCACAGAAUGUCAUCGAUAACCUAUACAAAAGCGCCAAAUGAGGUAUCAGGGCAAGAAUUCCUUCGAUUCGAAAGAAGCUUCCAGCACUUGCUGCCAAGGACUCUCUGUCACUGCAUCUUACAUUCGGAACAAUCAUGAAUAGCUCUAAUGUAAAUAUCAAUAUACUACUGAGACGAGGUGGUGAAACUAAUUUUCAUUAUCGUGUUCGUGCAUAAUAUAGUACAAAGUCUUUGGCUAACAAGAUCAACAUCUUUAUUGAUACUCUGAAGGCCAUAGCUGCUUCCAAAGUGUGUGAGAUGAUUCUACCCAUUUGGUUGUUCACAAUGGAUUGAUCAAUAAUUGCUGCUCUUGGAUUUCUGUUCUCUCUAGUUUCUGUUUAGGGUCAGAUUUUCUUAUAUUUUUACUUGUUUAAGGGGUGUCAUAAGAACGAUGUAAUGCGCGCUGGAGAUGAAUUAUAGAUCUGAUUUAACAUUUAAUUUUCUUGUAUAUGGUUAGGGUAAUUGAAUGAUCUUGUCAUCCUUUUCACCUGAGAUUCUUACUGGAAAUUUCUCAAUAGUUCCCGCACCCCUCCUUUCCUAGCCUGUUUUAAUCAGAAGCAAAUUAAGCUUAUACUGAGGAUGAUCUUAUAUUGUCCCUUUUCUCUAAUAGACCUUAUUAAAAAACAUUUCAUUUGACAUGCUAUUUUUAAGUAGCUAUAGCCAAAAAAAAAAGAAAAAAGAAUAAACCCCCAAUUCUUAUUCUACACAAUUUCUUUCAUACGUGGAGACAAUAUUCUCCAAUUUCCCAAGCCUCGGUUGUUCAGUGCAAUUCUGAUAUGAUCUCCUUUUCCGAGGAUGGUUGCUCGUUCAACCGCUGUACUCUUGAUUAGAUAUUUCAUCCCUUUCAACUUUUUGAUUAUAUUAUACCCCUUUGCGGUCAAAUGUAUCCAGAUGAAUUCGAGUUGGACUAAGUCCAAAUCCAACAUUUGGCGAACUCGUAUUAGUAGUCUCAUCGAACACGGAUGUUAUUUUCCAACCCAUUUUAACACCUAAUAUAAACCAACCACCGCAAUUGUAUGAUGUCAACAUAGUCAACCGUGCUUUAUAGAUUGCGUAAUACGCUGGAAUAAUAACGCAAGAGGAUUACUCAACGGGUCAAAAAGAAGGUAUAUGCCUUUCGUAUAGUUUUAAUACAUGUAGGAAUUGAUCGUUGCAAAAUUGAUGAUUAGAGUCCAUGAUUUGAUAUUUUUAUGUUGUGCACUCAUGAGAACAUGACACCUUGCCCCUAAGAAGCAUCCGACUGAAAAAAUAAAAAUUCAAGGGAAACUAUUUACUUACAGAAACUGUAUUGGGAUUUGUUGAUAUUGGUAAGCAUGAGUUUUGAAGUAGAAGCAAGGUAUAUAUAUUAAAUAUCCCAUUAAAGUUGUGAAGAUCAUGACCAGGUGCCUUUUUGGCUGCGCGGUCGAAUUGCGCAAAAAGCACUUUUGAAAAAGCUCUGCAAAAAAUACUUUUGAAAAAGCUCUACAAGAAGAGUUUACUCUUGAGAAAGCUCUACAAGAUGUGUUUUCUCAAAAAACAGGCUCCAAAACAUUACAAUCUAUACAACACAUUAUCAUUUAAAAAAAAAUAAAAUUUAUUAUCGUACUUUCCGACCGCACACUAUACUUAUUUUUUAAAACGGAUCCCAAAUGAGACCUUAAAAUAGUGCAUAUGCUUUAUUUUUGCGCAAUUUGCACUUAAACAAACUGCGAAUUUAAGAUGGUUUAUAUCUCAGAUUUGUGGUGCCAAUUACAACACUUUAGACAUCAAAUUUGUGGCGACAGAGAGAAUAAAAUCUCGGCCGCAUCCAAUUACCAGUUCCAUCAGAAGAGAUAUAUACACAUCAUUAGACUACCACUAAUUCACAUAUUAGCCCCUUCACACCUCCAUAAAAAUAAAAAAUUAAUAUCAAAUAAAAACAAAGACAAGCAAUACAUUGCGGAAAACAACUUAAACCAGAGCUUUCCAUUCCUUGCACGGCUCAGCACUGUUAAUGGUAUCAUACAUCGAUUAGAGCCCCUCCACCAUGGGAUUUCCCGUUUAGUAAUCCACUCAAAAAGUAAAAAGAACAAAUAUAUAGCCUAGAGAAAGCUUCGUUUUUUAAAUCAUCUAGACUUGUUAUGUAAUCUUCUCAACUCGACGACUACCACGCUAAUGUUGUCUUUACUCCCGCGAGACAUCGCCAGCUCCACCAGAAGAGCGGCGGCGUCGGCAGCGGUGCGGCCGCUGACGGCGUCAGGGAACGCCGCGGCCAUCCGCCCGCUAAGACAGUUUCUUGUUAUCUUGCACGCGACUUCGUUCGACACCACGUCCCACAGCCCGUCGGUCGCCAAGAUGAGGAACUCGUCCUUGUCCGUCCGGUCCAUAACGUUGAUCUCGGGCUCGGAUAUCACGUACGGCUUGAGAUAGUAGUCGCCUGCAGAAUUAACCCCCAAAAAAGACGAUUAAUCUCAUUCUUGUUCUUUCUACUUUUACGGACACUUCUGUAAAUUGCGGCUCGGAGUAACAAAAAACACAAUCUAUGAAUGCUUAAUAUAGUUCGCAGGGAAAAUUUGUUCAGUGAUUUUUCAAAGUCUAAUUCGAUGGUUGACUCCUUUUUUACUUCAUUCGUAUAGUAGCGGUAGCACGUGUAAUGGUAAUUUAAUACAGUUGUGAGAUCAAGGCAAACUAAUAGCAACAGUGCAAUUCCAAUUAUAACACUUUCUAAUUUUUCACACGGGCGUCUAGUAAUAUACCUAUUGAUCUAGAAGUGGCUAGGACUCCGAGGACGCGAUAACCAUUCCAGUUGAUCACCCUGCCACCAGCUGCUUCCACCCUCUCCAUCUCAUCUGGUCUAUCAGGCUGCACAGGUAGAGAAUUAUCAUAAACUAUAUGUUUAUAUCAAAGGGCUAAAAUCAGAUCUAAAACAUAAGACUAAACUUGAUACAUGUAAAAGAAAGGCAUAAAAGUGACAACUCAGAAUAAACUAUGCAAGCACUCGAAGCGUCAUAUAUCUCAUCCACCGCCCUCCGUCAGUCCUCCAUCCCUUCUCACAUUUUAAUCCCAAACUUGAAGAUUUUGUCUGUAUAGAAGUUGGAAGAUUCGGAAUAAAAUGCAAGAUAGAGUGGAAAGCCGACGCUCGUCAUUUUGUUAAACACUGGGAAGAGAACGAGCUACAUAUCAUGUGACCGAUUAGUUCACCAGAGAGGGCACUAAUUUGACCUAGCAUUGUGCUAUUGUAGUUAUGUCAUUCCACUAGUUCAGAGAUAAAACGUGUUAGCAUAACAAACAAAGUCAUUCAUUAGCUGUUUUUGUUUGUUGCCAUUGAACAACUUAUAUUCAGCUUUAUACUUGGUUACACGAGGGCAGGGAUAGGCUUGUUUGUUAAGCGAGCUGAGCUUGAGCUUUAGCUCAACUGGCUUGCAUUCCAAAUAAGAAAUAAAUAGAGAAAAUAUUGCAAAUAUAUAACAGUACAGUAUCGUCACGGAAAAAAAAAAAGAAGCUAAUUUACUGCUCUUUGUUAAACCAGCCAUGACUCGACAUUGUAUGAGCUAGCUCGAACUCAGCUCCAUAAUAAGUGAGCCAGGCUUGAGCUCAUCUUAGGAAGCUCAUGGAUACCCAUAGUUGAUGAAAAUUAGGGGCCCUUUGGUCAGGCACGAAAUGGUCCCGGACCACGGGUAAUGAUUUUCAGUUCAGAAACUUCCGCAAGAUUUUGUUUGCUCAUGAGUACUGGAUAGUCUGUUUCCGCACAACUCACACCUGACCAAGAGACCAGCUCACAUGAGCGAGCUGUGCGUGCGCACGCGCGCGCUCUCUCUCUCUUUCUCUCUCAACAGCAUAUAAAAUAUAAUGUAUAAUAAUAUAGUAUAUUAUUAUACGGCAAAGGGCUUAGUGGUUGGUACUCGAGACCCAAGUUCGAAUUCUAGUUGAUUCACAUUUUCAGCUAAGUUUAUUUCUAAAUGAAAUAAACGAAGUGGGUAGCGUGCUACCUAUCUCUCAAAUAUAUAUAUAUAUAUAUAUAUAUAUAUAUAUAUAUAUAUAGUAUAGCAAGAAAAUUAGAAUUAAUUAAUUUUAUUGCUUCGUAUUUCUUAUAUUAUAUUAUUAGUCGUAUUAUGUUAUAGUACGUCAUAUAAUAUGAUCUAAAAUUACAUCCGUAUAUUGCAUUACAUUUUGUUAUAUUGCACAUUUAUUUUUACAUGCCUCAUGCAUAUAUUUAUUUUAUGUAUAUCUUAAGCAUAAUAAAAAAUAGAAGACAUUAUUAGGUGAUGACCUCACAAUUUCGAUUGGAGGUACUGAUAACCCAAUUUUCCAAGCGGCAAGGGACCACAAAACUGUUUCUAUCUACUUUUCUUGCAAACCAAACAAUACACCUCGAAAACUGUUUUCACCCUAUGCAAACCAACAACUGCCGUUUCCCUUACAACGGAAAUCCUUUUCCCCUAAAGAAGGUUUUCCAUGGCAUUACAUAGAACCAAAUAACCCUAACCCCAAAUUAAAUAAAUAGGCACAUUCUCUCCUACCUUUUUUUUUUUUUGGCUUAAUUAUAAAAACGUCGUUUGCACUUUACAAUGCGUCUCAAGUACUAUCCUGUGUAAAAAAAUUUAAACAACGGAAACCACGCACUUUAGUCUUGUGUCAAAUAGAUUCAAUAUUUAUGAGAUUUUCUUAAUUUUUGAUGAAAGUAUGAACGAUGAAAAAUAUGACAAGAUCGCUUGAUGUUAAAAACGCUUAAAUUCCUACACACGAAUGCUGUUAUAUAAUUCUCUUUUAGGUUUUGACAUCCGAAGGUGUGCCUAAAAGAGCUUAAAAAUCGUGUCAUCUCAGUAUGUCACUGUUAAAAUUAAUGAAAAAUUGUAACAGAAGGACCUAAGUUGAGACAAAACUAGAGUGCAAAGUCGACAUUGUUUAAGCCUCUCUCUCUUUUUUUUUUUCUUCUUUUCCCUCCCGAUAAUUUAGAUAAUGCUUAACAGCGAAUUUAGUUUUGCAUUUAAUGGUCAUUUUUGCUCAAAUCGCACACACAUCAUAUAGUACAUACGAUGAACACACACCAAAAAAAAAAUGUGAAUUUUUUUUAAAAAAAAAAAAGGAAAAAGUGGGGAAAAAAAUGGGAUCCCAAUGUUUGUGAGGCAAGGGGGGUGGGGUUUAGAAAGUCUUAAUUGAGGGGACUCGGGGGAGGUAGCACUUAGCAGGUGUCUAAGCCUCGCACUUCUGGGAUUAAAAAAAAAAAUAAUAAUGAAUUAUAUAUGGGUAUUGACAAGAGAAUGAGGCAAAACUUAUCCUUAAACUAGUUCAGGAGCCGUACGUGCGUCAUAGAAUUGUUUUCUACCGCUUCUUUUUCUGCUUAAAAAUUUAAACAAUCACAAUAAUAAACGGAAACAUUCUCACUUUAUGAAACGGAUGCAUACGAAAUGCAAAGGGAAAUAAAAUCAAACGCUCUUUCGAACCCCUCACGAGGACUCCAAGUAGAGAUAAGGAAUUAAUAAAUUCAAUUAAAUUAAGUUGAGGAGAAGAGGUAUACCUUGUGGUCCGAGGAGAGGGGGACGGCGACGCCGCCGCGGGAGAGCACCGCCCUCGAGUCGCCGCAGUUGGCGACGACGAUGCGCCGCGCCCCCACCACGGCCACCACCGCCGUGGAGCCCACCGUCUUCUCCGCCGCCCCCGAUCCCCCUCCCUCCGCCGCCUCCGACACCUCCCCGUCCACCCUCGCGAAGCUCGCCGCCAUCGCCGCCCUCCACCUCCCCAGCUCCUCAUCCUCCUCAUCAUCUCCCAGCGCCAUCGCCAUCGCCAUCUCCAUCUCCAUCUCCUCUUCCCCCUUCACCGGCGUCGCCCUCCGCCGCCGGCGACGCUUCGCCGCCUCCUCGGCGAGCACGACGUGCAUCCGAUCCCGGCACGCCUGAGCCACCCGCGCCCCGCCGUGACCGUCGUACACCCCGAAGAAGUCGUACCCCGCCGCCGCCUCCGGCGACCCGGCGAACCCCAGCGCCACCGUCACCGCGUCCUCCAUCUCCCUCCGCCGCCCGAUCACCGACACCUCCCCGUGCGACAGGCUUGGGAAACCUAUCCCGGCCGCCGCCGCCGCCGCCAGGAUCCCCACGGCGGGGCCCUCCCCGUCCGGAUCUGACGCCGCCGAGGUCGGCGACGACGAAGACGACGACGGCGACGAGGAGGAGGAGGAGGACGAGGACGACGACGGCGGCGGCGAAUCGGGCUUCGCCUCACGAUUCCUCAGCCGCUUAGCGGACCCCGUUAGGGCUUCCGAUUUCAUGCGGCGGAGCGCCGCCCUCCGGCGACGCGCCGACGAGGAGGACACUUUGCACGGGGCCCCCUCCAAUUCCUCGCCGCAGCAAACGGGUACGGCCCUCUCGCCCUUGUCCUCGUCCUUUUUAUUGUCACUAUCUCUCGUUUUGUUCUCCAUCGCUCCCGCUCCAGCUCCCGCUCAUCGCUUGCGUUACAAAGCGAGGAAGAGAAGAGAGGGAAUGAGGCGAGAGAACAUUAUUAAUAGAGACGCGCGCGCGCACACGCCUCUGCGAUAGGUUAGCUAGGAACGGGAGAGAGAGAGAGAGAGAGAGAGAGAGAGAGAGAGAGAGAGAGGACGACGACGACGCAGGGCGCGCGAGUAAGNACAUGCAUUGGAGUCCACGUUAGAAGAGGCAAGGAGUAACAUAUUGUGUGGCCACGCCAAGUCAUUAAUUCAUGCGGCCUGAUAAUUACUUGCAACAAUCUGGUACUUACUUAAAUAUUGCUUGUUAAAUGGUCAUAGCUCUGUUGGAUACCCAUGAUAAAUUAGUGCAAAAGUUAAAUUUGUAUCGAAUGGCGUUUGACUUAAACGAAGUAGUUUUCUGACCUUCACUUUAUCAUAUAGCACUUUAUCAUGAGUGCAAAAGCCAAAUUUGUUCUUAUGUUUUAUUGAACCUUAAUUUGCAAAUUUAGUCAUGAUACUUCAUUGAAUUCCCUCAUUUUUUAGAAAAUGCACCCUCUUUCCCUAGGCAUAAGAGGACAUAAAAUAGAUAUCUAUUAUGUCUUUAAAAUGUAUGAUAUGGGACGGGCCUAUAUUUAUGCUCGUGAUCUAAUUCUUGAUUUAUGUAAUGAAUGGGGGGAAAAAAUAAUGUUAAGUUCAUUCUUGCUAGUUUAGAGGAUUAUCCACUUUCAAUAUUUAAUUUUUUUCUAUUCUCAUCUGUGUUCAAAGGCUGCUGGAAUUAAUGUUCCUAUAUUGUUGCAUUAUUUUUUAUAGAGGUAAAUAUUUUUUUUUUUUUUUUUUUUCUUGAGAGAGAGAUAAAUAGCAUAUUUUUUAUUUUAUUUAUUUUAUUAAAAAAUAAACUUAAUUAGAAAUGUGAAUCAAUUAGAUUUCUAACUUGAAAUCUCAUAUUCAUAAAGUUAUUUGCCACUUACUGUAGGAACGAUCGGUACCUUAUUCAAAAAUUUAUUAUUUACUAUGAUAUGGUAAUAUAUCAAAAUUUUAUGGACAUGCCUAUGGAUCGAAAAGAAAACCUAAAUAUCAACAAACUAUACUAAAAGAUAUUGAUAUUGAUCUUUUUAUCUUUUUUUUUAUACUUUAUAAAAUUAACUGUUUACCACCUAAUUUAUUUUUAGGUCAAAGAAUUUUGAAACCCUGUAUGUAUAACUUUAGAAGUUGAAUCUUGAAUUUCAAACUUACUAGGUAAGUGAACGAAGAAUAAAUCUAGAUUAGUACAGAGAAUUGGUAAAGGUUCUUAAUAUAGGUGUUUUUUUUUUUUUUUUAAGUAACACUUGAGCAUUUGUUCACUAGAUGACAUUAUAAUUUUUUGUUUGGUUCUGAUAUUGCUUAUAUUUUUAGUUAUAUUGGCGAUUUGUAAAAUUUGAUCAGCAGUAAGUAUUAAAAUUAUGAUUUUAAGCAUGAAGAACAAAAAAAUCAAUUUGAGUAUAUUUAUAAAUUCAAUAUAUUUCCUUUUCUUAUAUUGCCCUAUAUAUUAUGAACUAGUGCCAUACAAACCCUUAAUCCUGGAAAUUUUGAAUAACAUGUCUAUCAAGUGUACACAUCAAAAGCAUUUAAAAUAUCUACGUACUGAUGUAAAUAAUGUGUUUGUACAAUAAAAAUUUUACCUGUCAGUUUUUCAGACUAAUAAAUAUUUAAAGCCUUUUUAAAAAAAAUAAUAAUAUUUAAAACCUUCUUAGGCUAAAAAUAUAUAAAAAAAAUUCUAUUUGCAUAUUUUAUUUUAUUAGUGAGGUCUAAGUUGUACAUCCAUUAAUUAAAAAAUUUUAAAUUUUUAUAUAAAGAAGGUUAAAUUACAGAAAUUUUUUUUUCAAUAUCCGCUUUUUCAUUUUUCUUCUCUGAUUUUUAAAAAUCUAUAUUUUUCUCUUAAAAAAUAAAAAAAUAUUCAUAGAAAAAUACGGUGUUAAUUGUAACAAUAAAAAACCAAAUUGUCCUCUCCUUAUUCGCUUCCUACCCAACUUUCCUCCAUCCGUAGCCCCUCCUCCUCCAUCCUGCUCGCCAGCUCUCUUGAUUCGAGUUGCAACUUUGCUUACUCCAUGUUCUCUUCUUGCACUAUUGCCGUCCCUUCAUUUUGGCGAUGGUGAGGAGAAGGUCGGGGUGAGCGCGAAUGAAAGGGUGUGUGAGGGCUAGGCGACGAAUGAAAGGGGGCGUGGUGGCGUGGGCGAGUAGGUUGUCAGCGAGGAAGGAGGCAACACUGCUGAGAGAAAAAGCUUAAGGAUAUUUUGAAUAUAAAAAAAUAAUAAUUCAACAUAAAUAAAAUGCUAAUGAAAUACUGACGGGGAAAAUCAAAGUGAAUAUUUAUUAUUUUUUUAAUAAAAUAAUGUUAAAUAUAAAAAUAUUUAAAAUACCGUUCUCUAAUAGCUUAAACUUUUAGAGUACAACGGUUGUUUCACAUGAUAUCAGUGCAGGAGAUUUUAAUUUCGAGUCACGUCAGACUCCUAGCAUAUUAAUUUUUUUCUAUUUAAUUUAAGCCCACGUCAUGAGCAGACUAAAAAGUCUCGAACUCAGACGUAAGGUAAAAAUGUUAAAUAUAAAUUUUUAAUUAUCAGAAAGAAAAAUAAAAAAAACGAACAUUGAUUGAAAAAUUUUAUAUAAUUUAGUCUAUAAAUAAUAAUAAUAAUAAUAAUGAUGUUAGUGAAAGAAUAUUAGUCCCUAGAUGAUUGAGACGUAAGAUUUAUAUUGUACAACCCUUAUAAAUUUAUAAAGAUCUCAUAGCUGUGGAAAUAUAGAGUUGGUUUAUGGCCGAUAUGGUGGGCAUGGUUCAGUCGAUAAUAGAGAGAGAGAGAGAGUAAGUAGAGAAGGGACACGUGGAGGGUGAAUUAGAGCAGAGUUUGGCGUAUUCUAGAAGGAGCAUGUAACAUGUGGUCUGAUUCACCCGAGUUAGUAGUACUGGGGACAGGUCUUUUUGAUUUUUCUCCUUUUUUUUUCCUGAAUUACCCUUUUGGUUUUAAUUCGAGAUUUUCAAAAUAUAUUAUUACUUUUUUGAUUCAAAAUAAAAAUUGGGAGGAGAAUCGGACAGAAAAGCAAACUCCUAAUCUUGUAGCCAAUGGUGUUCAUAAUAAUUGUUGGAUUAAUAUGACAUAAUUUGAUAACGGAGUAGCUAUAAACAUUAUUUUCUUUAUUAUAAAAAGUCUAAAAAAAUUUAAAACGGGUGGCAUAAAAUAAACCUAAAAAUUAUUAUCAGUAUAAAAGAUUAUUUUUCGCUUGCUUGGUUCGGACGUAAAAUUAUCUUUCACGAAUUUGAAAAAGAAAUAAAAUUUUUGUUUUUUUCGUUGUUUUUUUGGCAGAAAACGAAAACUCAAACUGUGUAAAAAUUUUUCAUUCAUUUUUUCUACUAAACUAAUUAAAUGUGAAAUUUUUUUUUUAACCUAACAAAUAUUAAUACAUUUUUUUUUCCUAUAAAUCAAAUACUAUAAAAUAUAAUUUUUUUAUUAAUUUUUUUCUCAAGAAAUUGUUUUUUUCGAUUUUACGUUGAACCAAAUGUACACUUAUAAUUUGUAUAUAUUAGAAAAAGUAUAUUAUUGCAUAUUUAUUCCAUUGUAGUUACAAUCAUAAUUUUAUAAAUAAUAUAAAAAAUAAAAAUAUCUUUAAAUUUCUUAAUAUUGUAUAUUAUAAAAAUAAUUUUUUUAUACUCAGUGAUUGUUGUAGCUGUUUAUGUCGAUUAAAUCUCCUAAGUCUUGAUCAAAUAAGCUUUUGCGCAUAACCCUAUCAACUUUUACCUUUUCCGAAAAAUAAAAUAAAAAAAUAUGGAAAAACUUCAAAUAUCACUGCUGUACUUUCACACUUUUUUAUUUUAAUAUUCUGUAAUUUAAAUUAUAUCAAUUUAGUACCAUAUGGUUUUAUUUUUUUUUCUUUUUAUUAUUGUUUCCACUAAUUUUUUUCGUUAAAUCAAUGAUAAAAUUAAAACUAAAAAGUACUAAAGUGAAUAUUCGAUAAAUUUAGGUGGGGUAUCUGAAAUUUUUUCUAUAUAAUUUGACGAAAUACUAACGGAGAAGCUGACGAAAAAAUAAAAUAAAAUUAUAGAACACUAAUUUGAUAUAUAUUAAAUCAUAGGAUGCUAAAGUAAGAAGUACGAUAUCACAAGGUUGGUAUUUGAAGUUUACCCAAAAAAAAAAUCUAUUCUGUCACGUCAAAACAAAUCAAACGACGUGCACCACGCACAUACGAACCCAGACCAUGGUUGGAUCUGGUGUGAUUGGAUGCUUCGGUUCGGGUUAAUUAGCUAGGCUACAGUGAUCGAUUGUCAAGAAUUAAGGAUUAAGCUUAAUACUAUUUAAUUAAAAAAUUAAUGUAAUAAUUAACAUGGUUAAGAAAUAUAUAAUUAAUCAAUACUCCUGCUUCUUGCCCUUUGGUUCGGAUGCUAUUGAGAGAUAAAAAAUUAAACGAGCUAUUUGGACGUUUCUUCAAAAACUUUUCUACUUGAAUAUCAUAUUUAUACAUGGCAAGGUAAAGAGCUCACUAAUAAAAUAAUAAUAAUAAUAAUAAUAAUAAUAAUAAUAAAGCCUCAAUCUUAGGUAAUACUUUGUUUCUAAAAUAUAAAAAAUAGUAAACGGUGGAAAUAAAUGAUUUUUUUUUAAAAAAAUCAUAAUAAUAAUAAUGACAAAGCAAGUGAUAAGCAAUGUAGUUAAGCUUUUAGUUUUUAUUUCAUUAUUACUGUAAUCUUCAUCUGAACCGGAUCCCAAUUAUAGACGCUUAAUUUAGCCGUCCAAUAUAAAAAAAUGGCAUGCAUUUGUCCAAUACAAACAAGAAUAAGGCAAUAUCCAGGAACAUUCAUUCAAGUCCCAAAAGAAAAAGUUUAGCUACUAAAUGAUAACCAUACGAAUCAAACACUAUUCUUGUUUCUGAUCACGAAAAACGAACAAUUUCGUGAGUUCUAGGACUAUUUGGUAACGCAGACCCUUCAGUGAGUGCAACUGCUUGCUCAAUCACGUAAGCUCGACAUUGCCCUGCAUCCGUGAAAUCUAACAUCCGAGAAAUUCACCGACGGUCUCUAGCGCAAGUAAUAAAACGCUUGAUGAUUGAUAUCCGAGGUUCUAAAUUUAAAUUCUCAUUGAUUCACAUUUUCAGCUAAGUUUCUCUAAAAAAAAAAAAAAAUCGAAAAAUUCUCUGGCACUUCUAAAAAUGUAUGAUUCUCUUUAGUUUUUCGCGCUUGCGAUCGAGUUUCGCCUCACACUUGGGCUGGUGGAUAGAGCAUCACAACUUUCGAUGAUAAUCAUGUGGUUAUAUUUAAAACUUGUGAGAUUAUUAUUAUCAAAACCCGCGAAAUAAGUUAGGUAUGUCGGAUAAAACGUGGACCAAGAAACAAACGGUGGAAAGGUUUAAAAGGUUGAUACAUUACGUGUCGCUCAAUUGCCAUGAUCGAUGACUCGGUUCCUUAAUUAAUGAGUUCGUGAUCUAUAAAAGCAAUUAAUUGAGGAGCUAUAAUAAUGGUUGCGAAGAGAGGAGGCUCAAGUACUGAGUGAGUUUUAAGAAAUAGAGAUGGGUAAUUACUUAUAUAUAAUAUUCUCGAGAGAAAUGCUUGUAAAAUGUUAUUUUCCGAUUGAUUUAAAUUUUUUAGACAUAAAUAGUUAUAAUUUCAUAAGGUAUCAACACAAAACGUAAUGAGCGUAAAAUUAUGCGAUUCUUUGUGAUCUAUACAUAUUUCAAAAAAUCUUUAUAUAAUAAUAAUAAUAAUAAUAAUCUAUAAUAAAGUAGAUAGUUUAGUUUAACUCUUGUGAUUUAGCGCAUUUUCUUUCGAUAUCCUAUAUAUAGUUCUAAAAGUUACACUUUAAUUGCUCUAUUGUUUUAUAAAUUUUCUUCUCUCAAAGAUUUUUUAUUAAACAUCAUAGAAAAAUCAUAAAAUAAUAUAUUGCAAAAAAAAAUUUAUUAUUCUCAACAGUGAUACAAAAAUAUAACUGCAAAUUAAGUUAUGCGUGACACAGACUACAAAAUAGACUACAUAUAUAUACAGCAAGGGAGACAAAUUUAAGUUGUACCCCUAUACAUUCAAGUUAAAAAAAAUGCAAACUCCAAAAUGACUCGGAGGUGUGUCGAAACUCGCGAGUUUUGGAGACCAAAAAGUAAGUGUGGUCACCGACCGUCUCUAGAGUAAGUGGUAAAGAAUUUGAUGGUUGGUACUCGAGAUCCAAGUUCGAGUUCUAAUUGAUUCACAUUGCAAACUAAGUUUAUUUUUAAAGGAAAUAAACGAAACGGAUAACGUGCUUUCUAUCUCUCAAAAAAAAAAAAAGUGCGGUCACUUGCGAGCCAUGACCCUUUUCUUUUUUUUUUAUUUUUAAAAUUUUUUUGUCAUUUUUUAUUUUUGGUUUUUUUAAAAUUUAUGUAGGUGAGGCCACGUUAGGGCAUUGGUGGUAACACCUCCCCCUGCUACGUUACGUAGAGAGGUGGUACGUAGCUUCUACGUGGAACCAUAGCGGACGUUAUUUUUAAAGGGGUGGGACUUUUAAUUUGUACCCGUUUUAAUUAAUUUGUCGCUCACGACUCACGAGCAUGCAUUUGGAGGAAUUAUUGCAUGCCUACUACGAGUAUGCUCGCUCGUUAGAUUUUUUUUUUUUAAUUAUUAUAUUAUGCUAUAUUAUUUGUUUGAAAGGUAGAUAUUUGAAUUUAAAAUGAAUGAAAUGGAAUGAUACAUUAAUUAAUAAAUAAAUGGACAAUGCUCGCAUAUAUAUAUAGAGCAGUGGACACGAUUAGUAAACACCGUGGAGUUUGGCACUAAUUAAUUUGUCCCAUACCGAUCAUGUCUAGAGCAAGUGGCAAAAGCUUGAUGGAUGGUAUUUGAGAUCCAAGUUCGAAUUCUAAUUGAUUCAUAUUUCCAGCUAAGUUUAUUUCUAAAUGAAAUAAACGAAAUGGAUAGCAUGCUACUUAUUUCCAAAAAAAAAAAAAAAAAUUUAUCCCAUAAAAUUUAUUUAUUAUAAUAAUCACUGCCAUAGCUGUUAAUUGUUGAUUGUUAUUCGAAAACGCUGUCGAGCACUAAAACAUCUAUAUGUAUAUUUCAAAAUUUGGGAUUGGACUCUUUUUUGAUUUUGGGUUUGGGGAGAGAGAGCCUGAAGAAAUGUUCGCGCGCACGCGGAAAAAAAAGAAAAAAAAAAAAAAACCUAGGGCUCUCUCUCUCUCUUCUCUAAAAAAGAAUACAUUCAAUUAGUCUACUUAAUUAAUCACGAGAACUCAUGCUUUAAAUUAUUUUAGCCUUGUAUCAGACUAAAUGCUUGCUUGGAGCGGCUUUUAGGAUUGAGUGGGUGUUUGGUUGUAUAGUAUAAUCUAAUGGUUGAAAAUGAUCCGAGAAGUAGAUCUAACGGUAAAAAACUUACAAGCAUCAAAUGCUUAGUGCUUUUAUAAGCACCAUAGCUAGACUGAUAUAGAAUUGAGCUCCUAUACUUUUAAAAGCACCAAGUUAUUGAUGCUUGUAGAUUUUUAGCCGUUGGAUUAAGAGAUAUGCGGUUAGGAUGAUAUGGGCCUCCUAGGGUUGAGUGGGUGUUUGGUUGAAUAGUAUAAUCUAAUGAUUGAAAAUGAUUCGAGGAGUAGAUCUAACGGUAAAAAACUUACAAGCAACAAGUGCUUGGUGCUUUUAUAAGCACCAUAGCUAGACUCUCUCUCUCUCUAUAUAUAUAGUCCAUCUACUAUCCUAUUAAUAGGAUUGAGGAUAUUGUCCUAUCAAGUCGUUUUGAAUGAUCGAAACUUCAAAUUAAUAAUCGGUAUUAUUGAAAUUGAUCUACGCAAUUAGAAAUCUUUAGAAACCAAAUUUUGUAAUAUUUAAAAAUCAUAAUCAAGUUCAUCGAAGAGUUGAAAAAAAUAAACGGCCAUAAAUGAAUAACCUUCUUAAAAUAUAAAUUAGACUUUCUCAAUUCAUAAUCAGAGUCAUCAAACAUUAUCUAGAAUUUUCUAUAAAAAAUUCAAGCAAUUUAGAUCUUGUGUAUUAUUAGGAGUACGUAGGCCUUCGUGCUCCUAAGUUGUUUCUGAUGAUACAUAACAAAUUUCAAAUUAAAGCUUUAAUUUUGAGCUUUUUGUUGCAGCAGCAGCAGAAAGCAACUAAAAUAACGAUUUCAUCGAAAGAUUUUAGCAGACCUCAAUAAGUAUUUUUUUUUUGGAAAAGCUAAAUGCGGCAGAAGAGGGGGUAAAAUUUUGAAUUAUUAAAGAAAUUAGGAAAUGCAGUUUUAUUUUCUCAUAGAGAUGUUUGUAGGUUAUACAUUCGCGAACUCAAGUCUCUUUUGAUCCAAUAACCUUAUUUACGCAUUUUAUUUGCAUUAUUCCUUAACUAGCAUGAUUUCUAUUUUGUUAUCUUAGACAAAAAUGAUGUUUAUUCUUAUGCAUAAGUUUUGCAGUAGAGUUUAAUGCUAUAUAUAUAUAUAUAUAUAUAGAGAGAGAGAAUAUAUAUGACUGAACACUUAUUAUCAGUAAAAACCUUAUUUGCUAUCAAGUUUUUAAUCCUUGGAUAAAAUUUAGUGUCAGAUGAUAUUAUCGUUAGAGUUGAGUGGUCUCCACUGGGUUACAGUAUUAAUUCAAUAUUAGAAAUAGAUGAAAAAAUUAAUCCAAAGGCUAAAAAACUGGUAGCAACAAUGGAAUUUGCUACUAAUAGUAGCCCAGUCCAACUCAUAUAUAUAUAUAUAUAAUAUAUAUAAUAUAUAUAUAUAUAUAUAUAUAUAUAUAUAAUAUAUAUAUAUAAUAUAGGGGUCCGGCUACUAUACUAUUAGAGUAAGAUCGCCUCGUACUCAUAAGUUGUUUUUCGAUGAAGAGCUUUCCGAAUGACGAUUCACACCAUAAACGUUUUAUCUACAGCAUUUAAACUUCUAGAAAUUAAAUUUAUAUAAUUUUCGACAUCAUUACCUUACGAUCAAGAGCACAAUUUGACAAUUUUAACGGCCGGUAUGGGAUACUUGCUAGUUAGGGUGAAAAGAAUCCGGAAUUUAUUGAAGUUUUGAUAGAAAAUUCUAUCCAUUACAUAGAUAAAGACAAUAUUCCGAUCUGAAUCGAAGGAUCCGAUCAUCUUUUUAGAACGUCGUUCGAUUUUGACCGUUCAUUUAUGUCCACUUCAUAGACUUUAUAUGAUUUCAAAAAAUUUACAAAUUUAUUUUCUAGAAGUUUUCAAAUACUCUAGAUCAUAUUUAAUGAGUGAUGUUCGAUUCGGGAAGCUCCAUCAUUGAAAACAACUUAUGAGUACGAGGACUCCAAUACUCAUAAUAGUAUAGUAGCCAUGGCCUAUAUAUAUAUAUAUAUAUAGAGUUCAUCUACUAUCCUAUUAAUAGGAUUGAGGACAUUGUUGAUAGAUUUGAAUGAUCGGAAUUUUAAAUUGAUAAUCGGCACUGUUGAAAUUGAUCUACACAAUUAGAAAUAUUUAGAAACCAAAUUUUAUAAUAUUUAAAAAAUAUUAUUAAGUUUAUCUUAAGAGUUGAAAAAUGAACGGUCAUAAAUGAAUAACCUUCUUAAAAUAGAUAUUAGACUUUCUCAAUUCAUAAUCAGAGUUAUCAAACAUUACCUAAAUAGUAUAAAGAAUUUUCUGCCAAAAUUUCAAGCAAUUUGGAUUACUCUACACUGUUAAACAAGUAAACGGCUCAUACAGGCCAUCAAAAAUUGUCGAUUUUACGACACUUUGAUCACCAUGUAAAUAAUUUUUAAAAUUUAUAAAAUUUAGUUUCUAAAUAUUUCAAAUACUCUAAAUCAACUUCAACGGUUCCGAUCAUCGAUUCGGAAUCUCUAUGAUCAAGAAUAAUUUGAUAGGACAAGUGCAACUAUCCUAUUAGUAGGAUAGUAGCCCUAGCCAUAUAUAUAUAUAUAUAUAUAUAUAUAUAUAGAGUCCGGCUACUAUACUAUCGGUAGCACGAGGCCUCCCGUGCUACCAAGUUGUUUUCGAUGAUGCGGCUUCCAAAUCGACGAUCGGCUUCGUUAGACUUGAUCUACACUAUUAAAAGUAUUUGGAAACUAAAUUUCAUAAUUUUUCGAUAUCAUUUACCUAUCAAACAAAUAGUCUAAAAUUGAACGGCUGAAAAUAAAAAUCUCAUAAAAAAUGAUGAUAAAAAAUUUAAAUUCAAGAUCAGAUAUACUGAUCUUACUCUAAAUAGUGAAAAGAAUUUUCUAUAAAAUUUUCAUCAGAUUUCGAUUGUUUUACACCGUUAAACUCACAAACACGCCACAUCGGCCAUUAAAAUGGUCAAUUUUGAGAUCUUUUGAUCACUAGUCAAAUGAUGUCGAAAAAUUAUGAAAUUUAGUUUCCAAAUACGUUUAAUAGUGUAGAUCAAGUCUAACGGAGCUGAUCGUCGAUUUGGAAGCCGCAUCAUCGAAAACAACUUGGUAGCACGGGAGGUCCCGUGCUACCGAUAGUAUAGCAGCUGGACUCUAUAUAUAUAUAUAUAUAUAUAUAGAGAGAGAGAGAGAGAGAGAGAGAGAGAGAGAGAGAGAGAGAGAGAGAGAGAGAGAGUUCGGCGACUAUGCUAUUAAUAGCAUAAAGCACUUUGUUUCUACCAACUUUUCCACCGUUAGAUCUAUCCUUUUAAUUAUUUUCACCUGUUAGAUCAUAAUAUUCAACCAACCAUCCACUCAACCUUAGAAGGCUCAUAUCAUUCUAACCGCACAUCUUUUAAUCCAAUGGUCAAAAACUUGAUAGCAACAAUGACUUGGUGCUAUUAAUAGUAUAUUAGCCUAGUUUUAUAUAUAGAGUAUGGCUACUAUGCUAUUAAUAGCACGAAUAAUUUGGUGUUAUCAAAUUUUUUGCCGUUAGAUCUACCCUUUUGAGUAUAUUUCUUAUAUAUAUAUAUAUAUAUAUAUAUAUAUAUAUAUAUAAAAGAAAAGAUAUUACUGAGUAGUUCAAGUUGAAAAAGCAGUAAAUGAAAUUCUCACCAUUAUAUAUUUCUCUCGUUACUAGAAUCAAAAACACCAAUUUAUAGUUGCCUCUUUGGAUGCUCAAAAUGUUUUUAGCCAUAUUGGAAGCUUAGAAUUUUUUAUAUCAGUAUUAUUGCAUGGCUCUCAUAAUGUUGUCUAUACUUAUUUAUAUAUUAUUAAUGUCAUGGUCCCCAAUAAUAUAAGAAUUUUAAAGAAAAGUAAUAGUUGUAAACUUCAAAUUAAAGGGAGGUAGACAUCUUUAAUAUUUUGGAUUUUUAAUAUUUUCUUUGAAAAAGCUUGACAGGAUAAGGGAGGCCUUAGAUGAAGGGAUAUAAAUUUUAGAACUAAUUACAUAUAGAUCUCUACAAAUAUAAUAAAUUAUAAAUAAGGUUAAUUUAAUACAUGUCUUUGCAAAUAUAGUGAAUUGCAAAUAUAUUUCUACAAAGUGCAACUUUCAUAUGUUAUCUCUACCAAAGUCCUAAUGUUUUCAAAUAUCCCUACUGUUAGAAUCCGUUAGAAAAUUUUUGUUAAUCAUAAGUUAAAUAUUUAAAUCCCUAGUUAGUUUAUGAGAUAACUUGACAUUUUUGCCGACCUUAUAUUGUACUAUUGUGAAGAGGGACAUAUUUGUGAUGACAAAAAUGACAUUUUACUUAAAAUAUAAACAGUUCUAUAACGGCAACAAAUCAAAAGAAUAUAUUUGAAAACAUUAAAACUUUUACUGAAACAAUAUAUAUAUAUAUAUAUAACUAUAAUACUAUAUGUAUAUAGUAUACUAAUAUAAUUAUAAGAAGAAGAGAGAGAGAGAGAGAGAGAGAGAGGGAGAAGAGAGAGAGAGAGACCGCUGAUAUCUAUCAAUCAGUACCAAGGAUUCGGUGCUAUUGAGUUUUUCACCGUUAGAUUUACACCUUGAUUAUUUUUUUACCCGGUUAAAUUAUAUCUAUCAACCAACACCACUCAACCCUAUAGGGUCCACUCAUCCUAAUCACUCGUUUCUCAGUCUAAGGGCUAAAAAAUCAUAGCACCAAUAGCUUGGUGCUAUUGAUAGUAUUCCAGCCUAGUUCUCUCUCUCUCUCUCCUCUCUCUCUCUUCUCUCUCUCUCUCUCUCUAUAUAUAUAUAUAAUAUAUAAUAAUAUAGAGAGAGAGAGAGAGAGAGAGAGAGAGAAGUAGGUACUAUGCUCUCGAAGCACGGAGCCUUCCGUGCUUCCAGGUCGUUUUCGAUAUUGCGUACUUUCGAAUCUCGAUCGCUCCGUUAAACUUGAUCUAGAGUAUCGAAGUAACUUAGAAAAUAAUUUUAUAAAUUUUCUGAUAAUCAUUUCCAUAGUCAUCGAAUGGGCUCAAAAUCCAAUCGGCUUAAAAAUAAAAAUGUUACAAAACGUGAAUAAAGAACAUGUAAAAUUUUAAGAUACAAACAUAUGAUCUUGUUUUAUAUAGUAAUAGAGAUUUUUCGCUAUUCGAAAUUUCACGUGAUUGAUAUUUCUAAGCACAAAGUUAAACUUGCAAACGGCUCACCUACAGCCCUUUAAAAUAUUGAUUUUGAGCUGGCACUUCGAUCACUACAAAUAUAUCGAAGAAUUAUAAUAAAUUUCUUUCUAAGUACUGUUCAAUACUCUAGAUCAAAUUCGACAGUCGCAUCGACCGAUUCGAUAAGUCCAAACAUCGAAAAACGAUACUGGAGCAAGCGAAGGCUCCGUACUUCCAGAAAUAUAUGUGACCUCACUAUAUAUAUUAUAUAAUAUAUAUAUAUAUAGUAUUUAUUAUAUAUAUAUAUAUAUAUAUAUAUAUAUAUAUGUGAAAGUUGUACUUUAAAAAAGUAAUAUGUACAAUUUAUAUAUUUGUAGAAAUUGUAUGCAAUUAAUCAUAAAUACUAAUAUAUUUUUUGGAAAAUUUCCUUGGUGCGCCCCUCAAAACAUGUUAUUUACACGGAAACACCCUUAAAAAUUGAAUAAUAAUCUUAAAUGCCUUUCUACACAUAUAGAAAACUUUCAAAAAAUAAUCCUUUCAACAAACACCAGUUUGUUAACAAUCUAGCACGUAAUCAGCGAACCAAAAUACCCGAGAUUACUGCCUGUUUCAUAAUGCCUUUCUAAGUGUUCCAACUAUUACUAAUCGAAGGGUAAUUUCAUUCAUACCCCUGUGAAACUUGCCAAAUAUUUAAAUACUCCCUAAUAAUUUGUGAUAUAUUACAAAUAUCUUCACAAAUAGCUAAUCUUAAAUUUUAUCUCUGAAUUUUUAAAUUUUUUGAAAGAGCACUUUAAGAUAUGAUGAAUGACAACAAAUAAACGUUCAAAACUGUACCUCACUAGUAAUUAGUUAGAUAAUGAUACACAUAUUCAAUUUAAAUACAUUAAAAUAUAAUAAAUAAUCAAUUCACACUCGUUUAUUUAGACAUUUGGCACUUCUCUAACCUUCGAAUUCAUACAAAAUUAUCAGAUUAAUCUGAGUAUUUUUUAAAAAAUUUGUAUAAACCAAACUAAAUCAUUUUUAUGUAUUUCUAAAAUCUAAGUAUAUUUAUGGCUUUAUAAUUAAUGAUAAAACUUUGUAAUUUUCAGCUAUUUAUUAUUUUUCUCUCCAUUUAAAAAAAAAUUUAGAAUAAUAAUAUAUUUGAGUAAGAUAAAUCAAAUUAUUCUUAUAGAAUAUAUAAUUCUUGACAGAAAUCAAAGUGAGAACUAAACUGAAUAACUUUAAAAUUUGUAAAUCUUUUAAAUUACGGUAUUUACAAAAGUUAAAAAUUAAUUACUAAAAUUGAACGAUUUAAAAGGCAAAAUAGAAGGUAAACAUUGGUAUUUGAUUGUUGUUAACGUAGAUUUUAACGAAAAUGGUUUUGAAGGGCACCCUUGAAAGUUAUCUAAUAUUGAGAGAGGUAUUUGGAUUUUCAAUUUUAUGAUGGACAUUCUAUAUAAAUACUUACUGGUUAGGAGGGGCACACAGGAAAUUGCGCCCUAUCAUUGUUUUUUUCAAAAAACAGGAGCCGUGAAAUUGACACAGGUGGUUCCAGUAACUCCUAUCAUCAUUAAAUAAAUAAAUGAAUAAAAAAUGUGUGGUUUGAAAAAGUUAAAAGUGAUUAAAUCCAAUCAAUCAUGCGCCUCCUCCCCCCGUCCUUGGAACCAACAAUCCUCUCCUCCUAACCUUUAUAUAUUAUAAUAAGGUAAGAAUGCGCUGGCACUCGUGGGCAUGUUACGCGCAAAGGCACACCGCAUCAAUUGCUGACACAGAUAGCUACAUACACGUCAGCAUGAUCAUAGCUUCUGGAAUUUCACAUUUUAUUGCUACAAAACUGCUGUGGCCCCCACAAACCGGUGACUGAACACAAAAGCUUGUGUGUCCACAGUACCCACACGACAUUUCCUCCAUUCACAUAUACGAUUUCACAAAAAAAGAAAAACGAAAAGAAAAGUGUAGAUUAAUUGUGCCCCAAGUCACACAACAUGCAUAUGAUAAAAAACAAAAUUUUAAAAUAUAGCAUUUCUUUAAAUAUACUAGUUAUAUACUGACGUGAUAUUUUUAAUUAAUAAUAAUAUUCUUGUUGAAAUUCAUCUAUUUUAUCAAGAUCAACAGAAAAAAUAUUUUUGCUCGUAUUUUUUUUAUUCAAGAAUAGAAAUAUAAUGGACGUUUUACUGAUAUAGGAUCUGAGCGGGUAGAUGUGAACGAAUAGAUUUUUUGGCUAUUUUCGACAUGAGACGUGUGAGUCUUACUGAUAUGAAAAUUUUAUAAAAAAAAUAUAUUUUUUUUUAAUGAGCAAUUUGAUUUGAAGAUGAAUCAAGAACCCUUCGUGUGUACGUACCAUUGCUCUUUUAUUUGUUUUGUAUUCAAAUUAAUUUAUAAUACUUAAUUUUGUUGGGACGGAUUUUUUUUUGUGUUGUUAUUGUUGGCUGUUUUAUUGAAUGUUCGAUUAAGUAAUAACGAUAUUUAUUUUCAAAGAAGUUUUGAUUGUCCAAAAUUGUUGAUUUUUAACUUUUAUCUUUUAUAUCAAAUAAAAUCCUUGAAUAAAGAAUUUCUCCUAUAUUUUUUUAAAUAUCAAAAUUUUAUUUAAAAAAAUAUUAAACAAUACUAUGUUCAUACUGACCUAANNNNNNNNNNNNNNNNNNNNNNNNNAAGAUGAUUGAUUAAAGAAGGUAGCCUAAUAGGUACGUGAAGUAUACACUACAAAUUGAAAUAUACCAUCAUAGUAUAUAGUAGGUAUAUCGAUGAAAAUCACUUCACACUAUUUUUCCAAUAUAGUAAUUUUUCUUUAUAUUCAAAAAUAUGAAAUUUCAUUCUUUUAUUCGUUCAUGUAAUUUCUCACAAAAUAUCUUUUGCGUCCUAAAGAAUAAGAAUGGCGAAGUAAUGUACGAUAAACAAAUUUUAUGCAUUGAAACGUGCAAUGGACUUUAUGAUUCUUAUAGUGCUAGGGACUAUCUAAUAGGUACAGUAUGUGGCGUCUUGAAAGAACCACCCUUUUUGAAUUAUGAAUGCUGAAAGGUAUAUGAGCGUUAAUUAUAGUUUUACUAUAAGAUACUAACCUGAAAUAUUAGCAAAUAUAGUUUACGUAACAACAUUUUAUUUAUCUUUUCAUUUUUUUAUGUUUUAACAAAAGUUCAGUGACAUUCAUUUAUAUUGUGUUACCAUCUGGUUUGUUACUGUUAGAUCAUUGUUUAUUUCUCAACAGUAAAUAAGUAAAAUUAUAUUUUUGUUCUUAUAAAUAUAUCUCUCCAAAAGCCCCGACUAUUAGAAUUAUGUAGCAAUAUCCUCGUAAAAAAACAUUUUACCCAAUUAUAUAAGAGAGGUAAAAAGAUCAAUUUAACCAUUUACUAAUCAGUAUUAAGUAUUUUACUUAUGUUUAACUAUAUUUUUUAACGGAUCCUAAUAGAAGGAGUAUAUUUGAAAACAGUAGGACAUUCAUAAAGAUAAUUUUAUAGAAAAAUGCAUCUACUAUUCAAUAUGUUUAUAGAGAACUAUAUGUAAUUAUUUCUAUUUUUUAACAUAGAAUAAUAUGGGUGUGGUCAUGCAACAGCCCACAUUAUGCCCUAAAUACUAUAUAUACCUGCAUCAACAUCAAUAUUUUGAACUCUCUGAUAAAUAAAAGAAGGGUUAAUUUCAUACAGGUUCUUAUAAACAUAAUAAAUUAUAAAUAUAUCCUUAUAAGGUUCUACUUUUAUAUAUUGUCCCUACAAAAGUCCUAAUAUUUUCAAAUAUAUUUUUGCUGUUAGGAUCCGUUAGAAAAAAUUAGUUAAUCAUAGAUAAAAUACUUAACCUUAGUUAAUGAGGUGAAUUGAUAUUUUUACCUUUCUUUAAUUAACAUUUUUACCUUUCUUUAAUUAAUAGUUGGAACUUUUAGAGGGACAUAUUUGUAAUUUCAAAAGAACCAUUUCACUUAUAAAAUAAAUAGUAUUUUAACGAUAACAAAUCAGAUGAACAUAUUUAAAAUAUUAUAACUUUUGUAAGGGACAACAUGUGAAAGUUGUACUUUAUAAAAGUAUAUGUACAAUUUAUUAUAUUUGUAGAAAUCUGUAUGCAAUUAAUCAUAAUAUAUAUAUUUUUGGGAAAAUUUCCUGUGUGCCCCUCUAAAAGCAUGUAUUUACACGAACACCCCUAUAAAAAUUGAAAUAUCUUAAAUGCCUUUCUAAAUAUAGAAAACGUUCAAAAAUAUCCUUCAAAACACAGUUUUGUUAAAAUCUACAGUAACAGCAACCAAAAUACCGAAUUUACCCUUUUCAUAAUUGCCUUUCUAAAUGUUUCAACUAUUACUAAUGAAGGGUUAAUUUCAUUCAUACCCCUGUAAACGUUCAAAAUAUUAUAAAUAUCCCUAUAAAUUUGAUUAUAUUACAAAUAUCCUUACAAAUAAAGCAUAAAAUUACUUACUACAUUUGCACUUCUCUAACCUUGAUUAUAAAAUUUAUCAGAUAAUCUGAGUAUUUUUUUAAAAAAUUUGUAAACAAUACUAAAUCAUUUUAUUGUAAUUUCAAAUCUAGUAAGUAAUUUUAUGCUUUAUAAUUAAUGAUAAAACUUUGUAAUUUUUCAGCUAUUUAUUAUUUUCUCUCUCCAUUUAAAAAAAAAUUUAGAAAUAUUUAAUAAUAUUGAGUAAGAUAAAAAUAUUAUUCUUUUAGAAUAUAUAAUUCUUACAGAAAUCAAUGUGAAAAUAUAACUGAAUAACUUUUAAAUUUGUAAAACUUUUAAAUUUACGGGGUAUUUACAAAAGUUAAAAUUAUUACUAAUAAUUGGAACAUUUAAAAGGGCAAAUAUGAAAAGGGUAAAAUUGGUAUUUUGAUUGUUGUUACUGUAGAUUUUAACGAAAAUGUGUUUUGAAGGGCACCUUUGAAAGUUUUCUAUAUUUAGAGAGGUAUUUGGGAUAUUUCAAUUUUUAUAGGGACAUUCAUAUAAAUACUUACUGUUAGAGGGGCACACAGGAAAUUGUCCCUAUAUUUUUUUUUCGAAAAAACUGGAGCCGUUGAGAAAUUGACACGGUGGUCCAGUACUCUAUCAUCAUUAAAUAAAUAAAUGAAUAAAAAAUGUGGUGUUGUGAAAAAGUUAAAAGUGUAAAUAGGAACCCAACAAUCCCCUCCUCCCCCCCCCUAUAAAGCUAUUAUUAUAUUAUGAAUAGGUAAGAUGCGCUGGCACUGUGGGCAUGUACGGCAAAGGGCACACCCAUCAAUUGCUGACACAGAUAGUACAUACACGCAGCAUGAUCAUCAGCUUCUGGAAUUUCACAUUUUAUUGCUUACAAAAUGCUGUGGGCCCCCACAAACCGUGACUACACAAAGCUUGUGUGUCCACUACCCAACAACACAUUUCCUCCCAUCACACGAAUUUCACAAAAAAGAAAAGAAAAGAAAAGUGUAGAUUAAUUGUGCCCAGUCACACACAUGCAUAUGAUAAAAAACAAAAUUUUAAAAUAUACCAGUUUUUAAAUAUACUAGUUAUAUUACUGACGUGAUAUUUUUAAUUAAUAAAAUUAUUUUGUUUGAAUUCAUCUAUUUUAUCAUAAUUAACAGAAAAAUAUUUUUGCUGUAUUUUUUUUCAAGAAUAGAAAUAUAAUGGACGUUUUACUGAUGAUGAUGGCGGGGUAGAUGUGAUACAAUAGAUUUUUUUGCUAUUUUCGACAUGACGUGUGAUCUAACUGAUAAUGAAAAUUUAUAAAAAAAAAUAUAUUUUUUUUAAUGAGGCAUUUGAUUGAAGAUGAAUCAAGACCUUCGUUUGGUACGUACCAUUGCUCUUUUAUUUUUGUUUUUGUACAAAUUAAUUUUAUAUAACUUAAUUUGUUGGAGGAUUUUUUUUUUGUGUUGUUAUUGUUGGCUGUUUUAUGAUAUGUUCGAUUAAGUAAUAGACGAUAAUUUAUUUUAAAAAGUUUUGAUUGUCAAAAUUGAUUGAUUUUUUAACUUUUAUCUUUUAUUAUCAAAUAAAGAUCUUGAAUGAAAGAAUUUUGCUCCUAUAUUUUUUAAUAUUCAAAAUUUUAUUUAAAAAAUAUUAAAAACAAAUACUAUGUCAUACGUGACCUAAAUAAUUUAGUAAAUAAUAAAGAUUAUAUUUAGGAUCCUUUAGUUCAAGAACCAGAAAUGUUAUAUAUUUUAUAUCUUGAAUGGCAAAUUCGUUGCUAUCUUAUUAAGCUAUUUGAGUUGGGAGGCUGCUAAAAACUAGCUAACAAACUAUUAUUAAAGGACUACUAAUUAUUUACAAUGUAUAUAAAAAUGGGAAUAUUUUCUGGUCCAUGAUAAUUAAGUAUUGUUACCAUUGAAGAAUCUACAAUUAAUGAAUGAUAAAAUAAUUUGAAUAUUUUAAAUAAAAAAUAUGAAGAAUUAUUGAAAUAACAUUGACCAUAAAUUAAACACACCCUUAAAAUAAUACAGUGUUGCUAACAAAAUCAAAGUUAUUAUUGAUAAGAUGUCUAUAAAGUUUAAGUGUAACUUUUGUGCACCAUUCAUCCAAAAGUCUAUAUAUAUGUUUUCACUAUUCUUAUUAAUUUUUUAUUUAAUAGUAAAAUCUGAAAAUAUAUCUAUUUUUUAUUAAAUAGAUAAAGUGCAAAAUUUUAUGUCUAUAUAUAAGUAGACAGAUAGCAUUUUUCUAAAGAGCCGCUUGGUUAGAUGAUAAAUAAAUGCAGUAUAAUUAAAAAUAUAUACAGUUAAAAAUACAAUAGUUACAACUAUAUGAAUCCUGUUUGGUUGGAUGUAGUAGAAAACGUAAUUUGUUUGGUUGCAAAUAGUUGAGAAAUAAUUUUUAAAAUUUUAUUAUUUUAUAUAUAUGAUGAUGAGAUUACCUCCAAUGUAAAAAAUAUAUAUAUAUAUAAUUUUUGUUUAAAAAAUAUUGAGGUAAGUAAAGUUAAUCUCUUUAAUUACUGCAGUUGGAAUUGCGGCCCAUUUGGGUGUAAUUCGAAUUAUUACAGUUGGGCCUCCUCCUGCAAUUCCUACUGCAGUUGUUGGAGUUAAAUAUAUCAAAUCAAAUACGAAAUUUGUAUUUACUUACAGUUACAACUGUAGUGCAGUUACAACUACUAUAUACAAUCAAACGGCUUCUAAUAGUAAGAGAGAUUCGUGGUGUUGCACGAUAUUUAUUAAUUUAAUAAAAUAUACAGAGAUGGUAAUUGAAUUCAAUAAAGCUAUCAAUCAGUACUAAAAUUAAAUUUAAAAAUCUUAUUAUCUGCGCAUUUUUUUAACAUUAAAAUCACAUCCGUUAACACCAUCACCUACAAAAAUCUGGACCCUACCAACCCCCCCUUAAGUUGAACAACAACCAACAGAUGCAGCAACCUUUUCCACCAUUGUUGCCACUUGUCAACAAGUGUGAAGCUCCACAAAAGAAAAAAGAAAAAAGAAAAGAACAAAAGGAAACAAAAAAAAAAAGAAGAAAAAAGAGUAGCUUAAAAAAGGAGAUUCAUAUAAUAUAAGAUUCGCAACACGUAUUGUCCUGUAACCACGAGAAACACGAAAAGGAAAGCGUGCUAUAUCGCCCAUCCUUUCCCCCACGACUCGUAACGAAGAAGCACAUACAUUGGUUCUUUUCAUGCAUGGGACGUGGCACAAUUCAAAUUAUUUGGGUUACGUCGCAAUUAUUAGUUUUAGGAUUAAUUACAGUUUUGGUCCGCAACCGUUUUCAAACUUUAUUUUAUUAUUAUAACUUUUAACUUACUUUUUAAAAAUUUAUUAUAAUUAUAUUUUAUAAUAUAAUACUUUAAUUAUUAUUAUAUUAUCAAUUAUAAUAUUUUUAUAUUAAUAAUUUUUCGAAUUUAAAGAUAUCAAAUAAAAAUUAUAAUAAAUUAGAAUUUGAGAGGACUGGAUAUAUAAAUUUUUUCUUGUAUUAUUAUUAUUAUUAUAUGUCCCCUACGCAACACUAUCCAUUGAUACCAGGUCACGUCAAUGAAGUGGGGUUUGUAUUGUCAAUGGGGAUUUACUUUGAUAAAAAAUGAUACAUGUUAUUGUUGGACCAAUGAAAAAGGUGGUGGGGAGAUAUCGUGUCCUUGCCAUAUCUCGAUUGGGAAAAAUCAUUCACAUUCAAACAAAAAGAAUUGAAAAGAAACGUACGAAGACCCACUCAACGACUCGUGAUUUUGAUUUUGAAAGCGUUUGUGUCCCCCCUCGCCAUGAAUUGUUGACCUAUUAAAUAAAUUUUAUUUUAUUGUAUUGUAUUGGGUUAAUGUUAAAAAUAUCAAUCAAAAACAUAUAAACAUGGUAUAUAUAUAUAUUGUUGGACGAUAGUAAAGAUGUAUAAUCUACUAUUAAUAAUAUACUAUUAAGCAUGUUUGUCACUUAUCGCGUGUUUAUUGGUUCACAUGUGCUUAACGUUCUCGGCACAACUGUAAAUGAACAAUCCAAACCAUUAUUCUUUUGAGCUAAUUAUUAUUUUUAUGAUUAACAUCUUUCGCGCGCUUUGAGAUUUUUUUUCAAUUAUAAUACUAUCGAAGGUUAGUAUUUUGUUAACUCUGACAACUUCUUUUUGUUUAUAGUUAUUAGUUAAUGACUUCGUUCUAUGUUCACACGAACGAAUCGCCAAAUCUUUUAAUUAACUAUAGCUAAUGAUGGGAUAAUCGAUUAAAUUAAACAAAAUAUCUAAUACAAUACUUGUUGAUGGAGAAAGCGGAGUUAGGUAUUUUAUUUAAAAAGUGGCCAAAAACAAUUUAGGAGUUUUUUAAUUGUAUGUUCUCCAAAUGCUUGAACUAGAGCUGGAAUUGAGUUAGGCUUUAGUUCCACUUGGAACCUGGUUUAAAUUACGCGUGUAUUUUAAACCUUGAGAUCGGUCUAAAGGGGGACCAUGCAAGGUUUGAUGAAUUAAUAAAUUUUUGUACCAGAUCGAGCCGAGUCAAUCAGAGAAACGAAAAGAAUUAAUCCAUGUUUGGCCCAAAUUAUUUGCUUAUCUUGAAUUUUGAGGUAUAAUUCGAUUUGACUCGAUUAGGGACGCAAAUGGAUCCUGGUUGGUAAAGCUCCCGUCCCAAUCCGUCCGAAAUAGCAAGUGAGGACCAUCGUUUUUUGAUCUGCCAAAAAUUUGUCAGAUUUGCUCCAAAUGGAGCGGGGACCCAAAAAACAAAAAGAUAAAAAUCAAAUCUAAAUAUUUUAAAUCAAAUUUAAUAAAAUCAAUCGUCGAUUCAAAUAUCUCAUCAUCGAAAAUAGUUUGUUAGCACAGAAGCAUUUAUGCUCCUAAGAGUACAACAGGCCUAUAAUAAAGUAUAUUACUUAAGAUAAAUCCACAUUUAUUUGAAUGAGAAGCAUAAUAUGGAAACUCAGAUCAUUUGCAUUGUUGGGAAUGCUAAUGUCUUGGGUACUUAUGGUUUGCAUGUCCUUCCCCCUAGGCCCAGUAAAAUGCCCACUGAAGAAUGAAUAGAUUAUAAUGGGCCCUUUGAAUACAUUAAAUUUUUCACUCUCGGAUCCGAAAUAUAUGAACGUUACAGUGAAAAAAAUAUUUGCUCAUAAGAAACGUCCAAUUUUCAUCAACAAAAACUCUAUGCACCAGUUUGGUUCGGGGUUAAGGGGUAGAAUAAUCCCUUAACCUCGAAGUUAUCAAACACCCAAUUUGGGUUGUCGGGUUAGCUAACCCGAUCCCCAAUGGGCUAUCCCGGGAUAGCUGAUUUCGCCCCACCCCACUACUCCAACCAAACAAAAUACUAUUUAACACACUAUCCUUCUUAUCCCUCCUACUCUAACCAAACACUAUUUUACCUAUAUCUAGACUAAAUCCAAUUCUCAACCAAACAUAAAAUUACUCUAACCCACCUUAACCCUGAACUUAACUCUAUCUCUGGAAUAACAAGUUUUUACUUAACCUUGAACCAAACGGUGGCGGGACUGUUUGGUUGCACGCAUUUGCAACUGCAUUGCAGUUACAAAUGUAUGCAACCUCAAUUCAUGUGUUUGGUUUAAUGCAGUUGAGUCCAACUGCGGCAGUUGCAACUGUAUAAGAAGGUCCAAAUGCUGUAGUUGGAACUACAUCCAAAUUGGCUGUAGUUCCAACUGCAGCAAUUGAUGAGGAAUAGAAUCACCGAUAAAUUAAAAAUAAUAAAUAAAUAAAUUUUAUAUAUAUAUAAAAAUAAACAUACUUACAAAUAAACUCAUACUAAUAAAAUUUUUUAGGCGAUACAAGUUUUGUGCAAAAAAUUAAAUUUUUUUAAAUUUAUUUUAUUCAAAAUAUAAAAAAUAAUUUUUUUCUUAAAUCUUCAUAGAAUAUGAUUGUGUAAGUCAACUUAAUAAGUUUUAAUUAAUUAUAAUUAUUAAAUUUGGAAAAAAAAUGAGAGAAUCGUUUAAAUUUUUAAAGUUUGAUUUACAUGUUAAAAUUAAAUAAAUUAAAAAUUUUAAAUGUGUCAAUUGAUAAGUUGAAGAAUUAUUGAAAAAUAUAAAAAUAUUAUAUAUAUUCACUUAUUUAUUUAUAGAUAGUAAAUUUAAAUAAUUAAUAAAAUUAUACAAUUAUUUUAUGUAUAGCAAAGGUAAUCUCACCGCUCUAUCUUAAGGAUGUCAAUGGGUAUGGAUAAUUGAAAUUUUAUCCGAACCCGAACCUGAAUGAAACGAAUAUAUCCGAUGGAUAUGGAUAUGGAUAUGGAUUCGGAUAUUGACAUAAAAAAUAGAAACCCGACGAAUAUGGAUUCAGAUAUAGAUUUUGAUUGUACCCGACCCGAACCCGACCCGAACCAGAAUUUAUUUUGUAUUAUAUAUAAUAUAUAUAUAUAUAUAUAUAUAUAUAUAUAAAUUUGAUGUUAUAUUUAAAUUUAUAUUUUAAAAAUUUAGAUUUAAUAUAAUAUGUUUUGAAAUAUUGAAAAAAGAAAUAAUUAUUUUGGGUUUAAAUUUUCGGGUUCGGGUUCGGAUUCGGUUUCGGAUUUUUGGUCGGGUUCAGGUUUGUAUAUGAAUUUUUAAAAUCCGUCGGGUUCGGGUUCGAAGUCGGGUUCGAGUUUUUAAAAAUUCACCCCGAAUCCGACCCGUUGACAUCUCUACUCUAUCUAAAGAGGUGAUAAGAUUCACAAAUACAACUAUCAACUUCAAAUUACCAAACAGAAAAAAUGCAACAGCAACCGUUGUAUCUACACAAAACCAAACAAACUAUAUGUAAUUACAACUACUGAAUUUUUAACUGCAUGCAUUUUUAACUAUACUGCAUUUACGACUACAUCCAACCAAACGACCCCCGUAAGGAGCUGCUUCUAAAACAAACAAAAGCAAUGAUGCAAUGCAAUGAAUAUUAAUUCGUAUGUCCCGAGUAUCAAACAAAGUGGCUGCAAAAGGGAAGAGUUUAGAUUCCUUUCAGUGCAAACAUUGUCGUGAUAGUAUCCUUACAUUUCGUAUCAGCUUUCCCAGAAAAGAAUUUUGAUGUCACUUGGAAAUAACAAUAAAACCAAUUUGAAACUAAAAAAUUCAGGGAUUGUAUUUGAUUAUCCCUCCAACAAGUUUGCUAAUCUUUCCAACCGUCUUUUGCCGAUCUCCGUGAGGCGAGCCCUUUAGAUGAUGGAGUCGAAGAGGGUUUCGACGGCGUUAUGGGCGCCUCCACAUCGUCGUCCCAACCAUCUCCCCAAUUAUUAUCCCACAAUUCCGACAGGUCGGGUUCCUUCUUCCCCCCACUCGAAACAGGCAGAGCCAUGUCCACCUUCUGGUACGCGGAGCUGCCUUCAUGAGAGUGCGGCCUCCUCCUCCAGAACUUGAUGCACAACAAAGCCGAUCCUAUAAUUCCAACUGCAGCGAGAAACACAAAUAUCGACGCUGCACGUGUACGCCGGUUAAUAUAGCUGGACACCCUAGAUGUUUCUCUCGCAUUACCGGAGAGCGUGUUCCGCAGAUUGAGGCUGCAUUGCCCCUCCCCCGCUUUCAAUACUAUCAUGGUAUCAUUUGCACCAUCACGAAGAGAAACAUUGAUCUGCAAAAUUUAAAUCCAAAACGUAAUAUGUCAUCUAAAGGAAGUUCCUCAAAACAAUUGUGAGAAGGUUAGCAUUCAACAUAUAUUAAAAAAUGGCUGAUUCAUGCAGGAAACAAUCUUCAUUUAAGCCGAUUAAUGUCAGAAAUCUGAAUCUCAGAGAAUGGGCAAAACAGUUAGAAGCCAAACAGUUAGAAGCCUUGAUGAUGAGCCACUCAGAAACUUCAGAUGAUAUGUGAACAGUCUAAAAGACACAAAUAAAAAGGCUGCCGUAGGAUGCGGAAUGGAUGCCUUCGUUCAUUAAGUUGAUAGGAAACAUAAAUUUAUGUGGCCAAUGAGAAGAUUUUUUAGGACAACACAUAACUUUCAGAUAGUCAACUCCAAAUUUCAGAUAGUUAUGCUGUCUUGUGUACAUUUCAAUAGAAACUUCUGGCUAGCAAUCACAGAGCCAAAAUAACUGGCCGACCGUAUUAUUCAUGUGUUUGGUUGACAAAAAAAAUCCAAAGCUUCACUAAUAGAAAGCUAAAAUAUGUUUUCGAGCCCAAAAACAGAAACUCCGAGUUGAAGCAGCUUCUGAUGCAACAACCAGCUCUUCAGAAGAUUUUCAGACCAAACAGGCCUUAAGUAAUAUAGACAGAAAAGCAGCCACCAAUUUUAUGAUGCAACUAUACAUGAUGACCCAUUUAAGACUUGCAAGUAAUGAACUCCAUCUCCUAUUAAUACCUUCUUCUUCUCCUUCGCUUGAAGCUGGACUAUAGCUUGCUCUAGUGUGACAAAGUCGGGGGCAACGAUGUGAACAUCAAGAGAACCUGUUCCUCUGUUCUCUAUAAGAAGUGAAAGAUCUAGCGAAUCUGGCAGAAGAAUUGCAGGUAAUCUUAUUACGCUCAAGCAUUACAAAGAUUCAAAACAAAGCUAAAUAGAAAGAUGUACAGCUUGCAACUUUGGAAUCCAUCAUACUGCCACAUUUUAAAAUAAAGUAUAGCGAACAUAUUAAAAAUUGUUGAGUACGCAUGAGCAAGCAAGGAAGCAGAUACCAGAAGAACCACUUGAUCCACUCAAGUUGUAAUUUACAAUAGCAUUCUGCUGAAUUGAAUACAGAAGUAUUAGCUUUAGAUAUAUAUUUUGGUUAAAAUUAUUGAAAACUAGGAUUUUGACAUAAGUUUUACUUUUUUAUGGUACUAUUUCUGCUAAAACAAGAAUACCAUCUAAUUACAAGUUUACCCUCAUCAAGUCUACAACUUACAGUACCUCAAAAUUAGACAUAAAAUUGAUUUUGUAUUAUGAGAACAAUUUCAUGAGUAAUAAUUUGAUCCGAGGAUUUCCGCAAGUUCUAUCAACAAGCAAGACCUAAGCAGUGUAUAUUACCUAUGCUGAGGUUGACCACAUACUUAGUUUUCUCCAAAUCACAUUAUCUAUUAACCAAAUGCUUUUUGGCAUUCCCAAAAACAGGGACAAGGUAAUCUAGCUUAUCGAAAAGCCUUGAAUCUUGAUCCCGUACCUUGUCCGGGGACUCUUAAGCAAGCAAUGAACUUCUUCUUCUCAUCAGUGCAUCUAUUGGACGGAUCGCACUCUUCAACAUAAGAGUCCCUCAACGGCUGCGUCUUAGACGCCAAGCUCCCAUCUGAACUCCCUUCCCCAGAAUCUUCCUCAACCUUCGUCUCCUUCACCGGCUGAUCUUUCCUCUCAAGAGAACUUUCACUAGAAUCAUCCUUCUCAUCAUUUUUCUUAGUACCAUUUUGCAAUCCUUUGCCCUGUUCUAUACGCUUUUUCUCUCCUCCCGCAUCAACCGGAUCUGGCGGAGACAUCUCUGCCGCAUUGGAAUGUUUAACAAUGGUGUCAUUGUUCGUAGUUGAUGGGAAACUAUCGGAAUCACCCUGAAUUCAACAAAACUAUCAAUGCACUUUAUCCAUCUAAAACAAAAUCUACCAAUAUUUUUCUCAUUAAAAUGGAUCAACUAAGCCUCCUUCGAAUAUGAUACUUAAACAAUGCGAAUCAAAAAAAUUCCACAACCAUGUCGGUAAAGAUGCGACCUUUACUCAAUAGAAUGCAUCAUAAGCAAAUGUAAACAAAUGAGUUUUGCGUAAUUUAAUUGGCCUAAUACAAACAAAAUCCCCCCAAAACACACUGAUUCAUCACAAGAACAAGCUCGUAGAAUAUACUAAAUUCUACAAAAAAAAAAGAAAAAAGAACUAUCUCAUUGAGUAGAGAUCUAAAUUAACUAUAUAAAGAAAAACAAAUCUCACUCACCUCAGAUGCAACGAGGGGAAUCACGAGGGCGAUUAAGAAGAGGACACCGAUCCCCUUCAUCUAUUCAACUUAUUCUCGAGUAACAAGGAGGCAACGGAACUAGAGAAGCGAUCUACUUUGCUUCACAUCCGAAACCCUAAACCCCAUUCGCGACCACUUCGUUGACCUAAUCGGAGACAUCGAGAGGACGAAGAAGAAGAAGUAUAAAAAAAAAAAAAAAAAAAAAAAUGGAGUUAAAUAAUUUGCCACCCUUGCAUGGCUACAAUGUGCACAGCUCUUUCUUUACUACAAGACAAUCAUAUUUUUAANAUAAAAAAAAAAAAAAAAAAAACAAAUGGAGUGAGCCAACCGAUUUCUUGGGGAAUCGGAUUCGGAUCUACUUGUAGCUCAAGCGACGCUUCGAAUAUCAAAGUGUCGGACCGGUUCAGUAUAAAAAAAUCAGUGGAGAAUCAACCGUGACUCCGUUAAGACCAAGAGCGAGUCAAACGGGGUUAGAUAAGCCGGGUCGGAUCGGACUGGGCCAGUUGUGGUUGUUGAUCCGGCCAUAGAUUUUUUAUUUUAUUUCAUUUUAAUUCUGCGCGUACGUCCCUAUUAUCCCACUACGAGAAAACGAGCCAAACACGAAUGAGCCGGAGUAUCCCACUACGAGAAAACGAGCCAAACACGAAUGAGCCGGAGUAGCUCGUGUUCACUUGUUUUAUAAAACGAGCUGAAAGCUCGUAAAAUAUCGAGCUGAAAAAUUCAGUUUGUAUUCGACUUGUUUAUUAACGAGUUGAACCUGAGCUAACGUACAAACAGCAAGUUAGAUUACCAACCUUACUACUCGAUGAAAACUUAAAAUAAAAUUAAAAAAAUUAGAAUCUUAAUUUUAAUAAUUAAAAUUUACAAAAUAUUAGUCUCUUUUUAUUUGGAUCAGCCUAAACCCAGUAGAGAGAUCAAUUUGGGCCUAAGGAAUCUGCAAUCUAUCUGGGCCAUCAAAUUUCCAAAUAAUCAGGUUAUCCAUUUUGCGCUCAAGCUAUAGAUAGCGCACCGCUUCGCUAUUGUUGUUGGGUCAGCAAAUCUCCAACUAAUCAGGUCAUCCAUUUUGCGCCCAGGCUAUAGAUAGCGCACCGCUUGGCUAUUGUGGUUUCGCAUGCCGUUCCACGCGGAACUGCAAGAAAGAAUGGAUCCGAUAAAGCUCCGAAUCCGGCGAUGAGCGGUGGUGGGCCAAACAAGGCCUUUCUAUUGCAACUUUUGUAGCCCAUUGGGAAGAGGCCUAAUAAGUUCCAUCUAUUUUUGUGAUUAUAUAUGGCCCGUUAAACAAACGGUCUAGGGCGUGUGUUGAUGUAUUGAGAUCACUCACUACUUAUUAUUGCGAAGGCCACAAGCGCGAAAGAGAAAAGCCCAUUAGAAUUUGCCUAUGUUUUUGAGCGUGUAGGACUUGGUUGAAGCUAUUGAAGAACUAGUGUAAUAACCCGCACGAUGUGUCGAAUAAAAAUUUUUUAGUAAAAAUUUUUAGAUUAAAUGAAUAAAUAUAUAAUAUAAAAAAGAGACAAAAAUAUAUAACAACAUUUGAUUGAAUUUAAUAAUAUAAAAAAUAUAUUAAAGAUUUUAGAAUAAAAUUAUAAUUCAAUGCAAAACAAUGAAAGAUAGAAAAAACUAUAAAAGAAGAAAAAUUAUUAUAUAAAUAUCGGACCCCUUUGCACUCUUGUCUAGAGCAUUUUCUACUGACAUCGACGAUUUCAUGAGAUACCACAGUGCCUUUAACCGCUUCCCGACAACUCCGUAUUCUAGCUGAUACUUUUCGUCUUCGGGGGCCAUUACAGGAGGGGGAAGCAUCUCGAUCCUUUGUAUAACUAUACAAUACAAAUUUAGAUACAAAUAUUACACAUCUUCACCGACCGUUUCUAGAGCAAGUGGCAAAGGGUUUGGUGGUUGGUACCCGAGAUCCAAGUUUGAAUCCUAGUUGAUUCACAUUUCUAGCUAAAUUUAUUUCUAAAUGAAAUAAACGAAGCGGGUAGCAUGCUACCUAUCUCUCAAAAAAAAAAAGUACACAUCUUCUAUAUAUAUAUAAUAUAAAACCAACAACCAAAAAAAAAGUAUAUAAAGAAAAAAAAAAGUAUAUUGAUUUAGAGAGAAAAAAUAAAUAUCAUCAAAUUUUCUCAAUUAAUUAUUAAACAUAAAAAAAAAAUGGUAACGAAGAAAGAUAGUACCUAAUUGGUGCGGCCAUUGAAAUUAGUUAAUUAAGAAAAAUUUUCUACAUUGAUGAUUUUGGGUGAAGAUGGAGAGAUGGAUGGUGAUUUUUAUAUAUAAAGUAAAUUAUUUCAACAUCUUUCCAAUUUCAUCUUUUAUGGAGGGUGGACCAAAGGCCACUGAAAAAAAAAAAAGAAGAAGUAAAUAUGAAUAAAUACAAUGGAAAGCGAAGAGCCAUUAAAAAAAACAGACUAAAUACAGUUUUUUAGAGUAGAAUAAAUAGUUUAGGGCCCAUUUUCUUUAAAUUAAGGAGGUGCAUCCACAUAAAAUUUAGAUAUGAGAAUUUAUGUAUAGGUAUGAAUAUAAAUUGCUAUUUAAGAAGAGCUGUUUAAAAAAAUACCAGUAAUUUUUAAACUCCCGCCUACAACUUUUCGCGGUAGCAAAAAAUUCUUUUGGUGGGUUAGCUUUUAGGGCUCAGUAGUUGUUUCAUAGAUAUCAAAAACGUAAAAUUUAUUCCUACAUCGAGAUCGGGGAAUCUUCAUGCAUCGUUCGGAGCUGACAACUCAAUCUCAAUGGGCCUAUUUCGAUGCCCAAAUUUUUUGUUUAGGGCAUCUCUUUAUUUACUUAAAAUUUUUAAAAAUUAGUUGACGAGAAAUAAAAUCAAAUGACCAUAAAUGCGUAGUUGCAUAAGAAGAUAUAAACUAGAGAUUGUAAAGUCAUAGCCAUAAUAAGUAUAUUGAUGCGGACUAAAAUUAAAUUCAUAGGACACUGCAACGACCCGCAGAAGAAAAAAAAUACAAUAUUGUGAAAAACAAGACAUCGAACAAUUCCGGUCGGUUAUUUUACACAAUAUCAGCGUAGGUGAAUCUAAUUUUCAGAAGCAUUUCAAAGGAACAUCGAUUUGUCGGCAAUAUAAGAUUACGGAGAUCCAAUCAAAGGCAAUGGCGCUACACUAUCGUUGACAAAACCCGUCACUUAAGACGUUUACAAAAGGCGCUUUGAAAGGGAGCGCUUUUGUUCGACACUGAUUAAUAAGCUCAAAAAAACGGCCGGUCAACGGUCGCAAAUAUGGGUUUCUAAAAUUGAGUCUAAUUCGUGUUAAUUACGUGUAAUGUAGUUGGCGCUAUCCGGGGUCAAAGGGAAACGUUCGAGCAGUGGCGAGGCGACACGUGUCCCCCGUGGUUCACGCCCCCGCCGCUGCGCGACGCGGUGGGCCCGGUUUUUGUGAAGUCAAAUGUCCCCCCAAGCUCACGUGGGCGGUGGUCCACUAUCCAAUGGUAGUAGUACAUGUGGCAAUACUGGUCCCAAGCUCACGGAGCUUCUCGAACAUGGGGCCCACUCUUUCUAACUCUACUAUAUCAUAUUUAUAUUAUAUUAUUAUAAUAAUUAGUUAAUUAUAUAUAUAUUUUUUUAAAAGUAUUUUAAAAAUAUAUUUUUAAUAAUUAUGAUGGGACAGAUGAGCUCUAAAAAAAAAAAAAAUCUAAUUGGCUAGGGACGCCACAUUAAUAAUAUAAUUGAUAAAUUUUAGACUUUUUCAUCUGCAUAGACACUCUGCAAUUAAAAAUAACUUUUUUUUAAAAAAAAAAGAGUAAAAUAACAUACUAUAUAUUUUGUUUUUUUUGUAUAAAAAGUAAAUUUAAUUAGAAAUAUAAAAUAAUUAGUUUUCAGACUUAAAAUUUUGAUUAUUAAUAAUUAAAUUUUUUGCCACUUACAGCACAGACCGGUCGGUAAAGUUAUAGUAAUUAAAAGUCAAACAAUCUAAUUCGUGAGUAGGAGAAUGUGCAAGAAAUUUACGGGUUGGCAUUUAAAUUUGCAUCCAAGGAUGAAAAUGAAACAUAAAUUUUCAUUACUCUCAAGAGCAGAAUACAAAAUAGUUCCUAUCUCUAUGAAAAUUCUAACUUCUAAAUUCGUUCGAUACUCUACUCUAAAUUCGCAAAAAAAUUAUAAAUAUAUUUAGAUGACUGAAUUGAACAAGCCCGUCAAUACGCGAUUAGGUUUGUAUAAUUGAGGCCUCCACUGGAUUUGUACUGGCGUGUUAUGUGGGUCAUAGACCGUAGCUUUCAAAGAAAUCGUCGAAAAGUUCAUCAUUAAUCACCUUUCCUUCAAAUUUUGUUAGGCCCCAAUAUAAAUCGACCACUUUGACCUAAUUUCUAUACUUGUGUUAUAGCAAAAUGCUGAAAUGAGCCUUUUAUGCUAUGGAAUAUAAAAUAUUAAAAAUAUUGUCUUAUGAUAUCUUAAGUUUUUGAAUGAUAAUGCAUAAUGGUUCUAAUUUCGAGUGUUCUAGACAACUUUAUGUAAUUUCAGGGGUCUAUUCCUUGUGUGAACAAAUGAAGAUAUUAUUCAAAAUAGCCGAAUCAUUUGAUUAUUAUUAAGGGUCCGUUUGGCAUUAAGGAUCACCCAACGUUAGUAAGAAAAAUCAAAGUUAGGAUAGAAGCAUAUAGAAAAUGUUUCUCUACUUUUCGAUAGGAUUGCAGAAAAUAUAUUAUAACUACAAUGACCCGACUUCCCAGGGGGUCAUCCAUCCUAGGACUACUCCUCUCCUAGCACGCUUAACUCUCUUAACCUCUUGGGUCUUGUCACCACCCAAAAUGCUUAAGCCAGGUUAAGAGUUUAGCUCUAUUAUAUCUUAUAUAUAGGACUAUCUGGGGUCUCACAAUCUCCCCUCCUUUAAGCCCUGACGUCCUCGUCAGGCUCAGACUCAUAAGUACCAGACGAUGUGAGACUCGUUUUGCUAGCCCGUCAUCCAGACCCUCGCUCAGCCGAGACUCAUCUCACACUUCCGGCUGGUAAUUGGCUCUGAUACCAUCUUUGACGCCCCGACUUCCCAGGAGGUCACCCAUCCUAGGACUACUCCUCUCCUAGCACGCUUAACUCUCUUAACCUCUUGGGUCUUGCUACCAUCUAAAAUGCUUAAGCCGAGGUUAAGAGUUUAGCCCUAUUAUAUCUUAUAUAUAGGACUAUCUGGGGUCUCACAAGAACAGACUUAUUGCAAUGUACGAAAUAUGAGAUUACUGUAUAAAUAAUUAGAAUGUAUUUUAAUAUUAUACUUUUUUAUCAUACAUAACGCAAUUUCCAUGUAAUAUCAAAUGUACCCUUGCUGAUAGAUACAUUGAAAGUGACUGUGUAACAUUCACAUAUAUAAUUGGUUCUGUGGCAUGACUAAGUGGCACCCUGUGUAUGGAUUAGCUUUAAGUAUUUUAUGCACACUUUACCUAACAUAAUUUGAUUCAAAAGAUACAAAAUUGACUCAUCAAUAAGGUACAAGAAAUAAUUCAACUCUUUUACAUCACUAUUUAUACAUUCUUGGAUUUCAUGACCCUACAUUCAAAGCAAACAUGGUCUAACCGACCUUGAAAAAUCUUAUUUGAUUGAUUGGUAAACAUUUUGAGGGAUCUCUAAUCAUAGUAGUACAUACAUAUAUGUAGCCCAGCAUAUGCUGUAUUUCUAUUAAUUGUCAAAAGAAAUUAAUAAUGUGAAAAGAAAUUUGUUUCUCAACGUGUUGGGAGAGCUUAGGUUUUUACUUUCUUUUUCUUUUUUUAACCCCUAAGAUAUGAUAGAAUAUUCCCUCCUAAAUUAUUUAGGCCAUGUUUGGAUGCAGAAAUAAGUGUAUGAGAAUUUUAUUAUAGCAUGAUUAUAAACAAGAAGUUUGGCUUUUUGCUUCUUCAGAGUUGCGCGAUUUAUGAUUUUGUAGAAUAAUAUAUUUCACCUACAAGAUAAUUUAUAUUAUUCUGAAAACAUGACUUUAAAUCUGAAUAUUAUAUAAGAUAAUAUUUAAUAUUUGACCAUACUCUGCAUCAAUCAAAUAUAUANAUUUUAAUAAAUUAAACAGAUAUGCCAAAUAAGAUUUUGAUGCAUCCAAAACAAGAACCUUAUUAUUGUAAAAAUCAUUUCAACCAAUUGAACUGUGAAUCAGCUCUUACAGUAGUCAAUGAAUAUUUGGUAGCUGGUGAAAGAGAUCCCAAGUAUGUGUUUAUAUAAAUAGUGCUGUUUUUAGAAAAUAUAGUAAAUCACACAAUAUGUGACAUUAAUGCAAUUCAAACCACAAAGUACAUAGUUCAUCAAUUCAUUGUUGCAAUAUCUAAUAUUCCAAAUCUACAAAUUAAAUCUGUUUCACCCAUUUGGCCUCUAGAGCUACUAUAUAUUACUAGUCAAGGCUAAGGGUUAGCAUGAGCAAAGCAUUAAUACGCAAUUUAUAGGUGAUUACCAACCUCUCAUUAUUAAUUUGUAAUGUUGAUAAUCUAAAUCGACGGCGAUUUAUGAUGUCUAUAUAUACCAUUGAAUAGUUGCAGUGGAACCUAAAUUCAUCUAUAUCUUUGAUUUCUACUAAAAAUUUGUUAUAGCUAAUCAAUGCUACACCCAAGUGCUAUGUCUACCCUUUUUUGAAAGCACACGCAUGGAGAUUUGGAAUGUAAAUAAUGGUUGUUCCAUUGGCUAGAAAUUUUCAUUAAUUACUUAAUUUAUUACGACAUGCGAGUAGUAAUAAUUGAAUUUGAACUAUCAUUAUCGUAUGCAACGCAAAAUCACUCACAGCAUCGCAACUGCCUACGUAGCUCAAAAUCACUACUUUUCGUGCUAUCACUUGUGCAGCUUUGUGCUACUGUAUGAACUACGUAAAGAACGAUUAUUUCAUCAAACAAAAAGGACCUUUGAACAU
Molecule: long non-coding RNA, 55535 nt
Filed under: Ananas comosus (pineapple)
Lineage: Eukaryota; Viridiplantae; Streptophyta; Magnoliopsida; Poales; Bromeliaceae
Description: long non-coding RNA (ACOM_LNC018716)
Source: RNAcentral